CCCUCCUAUUUAUACCCCAUGAGCCCCCCCAUGGAGCCUUAGGUUUUGAUUAGAUAAAGUUUAGCCUUUGCUACUUUCGUGUAAUCGCGUGUGUCGGUUAGACCACCUGUUUUACCGUCAUCAAGACUCCAACUAUAUUGAGUAUUCAGAUUCGUGAACCUUCAUAUCUCCUAUUCGCAAUUUCAGAUUGCUUUUCAUCUUGUUCUUGCUUGUUCUUCGAUUGCUUGCAGGAACAAAGACCUUCGUGGUCAGGUUGAUCGUGCCCCCGCGGGAUCAAUAACCUUCUGGAGUUGGUGUAUCGAUUGCUAAGGCGCUGUCUCCUCGGUUAUAGUCGGAUCGUCAACGUCACCUUCUACCAAAUCGAUAAUUAGGUAUCUCAUCGAAAGAUCGGGACACCCUCGAGGCUAUCACGAAAAUAUCUCUCCCUCCUCCUUUAUAUACCCCAUGAGGCCCCCUAAGGAGCCUUGGGUUUUGAUUAGAUAAAGUUUAGCCAUCUUUGCUACUUUCGUGUAAUCGCGUGUGUCGCUUAGACCACCUGUUUUACCGUCGUCAAGACUCCAACUUAUCGUCUCGUUGAGACAUUGGUUUGAUAUAGUAUACUCGCAAUUUUAGAUUGCAUCCGCUAUUUAUCUUCUUCUUGCUUGUUCUUCGAUUGCUUGCAGGAACAAAGACCUUCAUGGUCAGGUUGAUCGUGCCCCCGCGUGAUCAAUAACCCUCUGGAGUUGGUGUAUCGAUUGCUAAGGCGCUGCCUCCUAGGCCGUAGUCGGAUCGUCAACGUCACCUCCUACCCAAAUCGAGAGUUAUCAAUCUCAUUGAAAGAUCGGGCCACCCCCACCCAUAUCACGUGGUAUCAGAGCUUAAGGUUGCUCGGUGAGAUUUUUCCAGUUUAUCCGUAGUUUAGAUCUGUUUUUACCUAUCAUCCAGAAAAAGCCAAACAAAAAUUAGAAUUAGUUACCUUGUCCUAAAACCAAUCUGAGCCUUGCAAAUUUCACUUUAGUAUUUGCAUUGUUGAAUCUUUGCUGCAUUAGUCGUGUCGAGUUGUUGGAUUAGAUUGGAUCGUUUUUCAGAUUUUUUCUACUAGAUCGAACUUGCUUUUGGUUUUCUUGUUCUUCGUGUGACGCAGGUUUCCUUCAUCAAUCUUCCGCCGCCAAACUUCCUGCCACACCACCGCCAUAAUCUCCCGCCGCCACCAUAUCUUCCACCGAGUCGCUCUUCGAGUCCUACACCGAGUCCCUCUUCGAGUCCUACACCGAGUCCCUCGUCGAGUCCUACACCGUGUCCUACAUCGAGUUCUACAUUGAGUCGGCAAGUUAUAGUUUUCAGCCGCAAGUUCGAGUCCGAGUCCAAUCAAGAGUGCUUUUGGAAAGUUUUCAUAAUAGAUUGAAUUUCGUUUAGAGAUCAUGUUGUUCGGAAAGUUGUCAAAAAAAAAGAAAGGAAAGAAAAAAAAGGAAAGAAAGAAAAAAAAAACGAAAAAAAAAAGAGAAAGAGUUCGAGUCAGUUUCGGACCCGAGUCCGAGUAGAAUUUUAGUUUCGGGUGGGUUUGACCCGUGUUCAGUAAAACGGGCGUAUCUUUUGCGUACUAACUCAGAUUUGGACGUUCUUGGACUUUUUGGAAAGGUCACGACGAGGUGCAUCAGGAAAUAUCCAGGGCGUUGCCCUGCACUUUGACCCUCAAAUUCGGUUUGUAAGGUGGACUUUUGAAACUUCCAAGUUUCUGCAUCCGUUUUCCAGCGUCGCUGCAGCCCGGUGUUUCUCAGUUUUCUCCACCGUCCGACAUCCGUUUUGAGUGAUCUUGCCCUUGCUGGAAAGCUUGUAUCGAUACCCUUCUAACCUAUAUUUUUCCAUAUUUUUCUGAAUUUUUCUUACUGCAGCCUUUGCGGUUCUUCGACAGACCGACGUACAGUUUUCCGGUCCUUCUUUUGCGGGAGUUUCUGGGGUUAAAAAAGAAAAAAGAAAAAAGAAGAACAAAAGAAUAAGAAGCCAAACAGAAGGCCACAAAAAGAAAAAAAAAGAAAAAAAAAUCCCAUGGAUUUACUUGUUGUGCCAUCUUUCUAUCCUACCUUCUUCAGUAUCUAGGCUUUGAUUAUUUCUGUAAUUCGUUCUUAUCGACUCCAGCAGCUAGGACUAGCAUUAUUGAGCAUAUUUUCAACUUUGCAUUGCUGAUUUGAUAUUUGCUAUUCCUUGCUACUCACAAAAGCCUCCAAGCUCCACAGAUUCUACACCUAGGUUGGUUUGUUACCGAGGCAUCGAUACAUUUAAUAUUCGAAGGGCUUGAUCACGCCGCUGGCCAUCACCUUCCUGUUUUGCAUGGUAAGAACUUGUAAGAACUUGAUUUUUAGCUUGAGAGUUGAGCGACUUGUAGCCACAUCCUAGUAGUUGAUAGGAACAUAUUACUGUGAUUUGUUUCUUGUUUUCUACUAACCAUGACAGGACUUACACGAAGCAUGGCAACUAGACCGAUGCUAUCCCGUGACCGUGAUGAGUUCUUUUCACCACGGCCAUCCUCCAUGUCUCUUGUUGAUAAUGCCACGGCAACGGUACAAAACAAUCCUUCUAAUACAAUUAAAUUGUGUGUACCUUUCUUUGAGGGGGAAAAUGAUGCUGAAACGUAUAUAGAUUGGGAGCUAGCUUUAACUGAACAAUUCACAUGCUUCCAUGUACUAGAUAGUCGUAAGGUCCAAAUUGCUAGUAGUAAAUUUCGUUUUGAUGCAUUAUCAUGGUGGUGUGAGAUAGUUAGAAAAAACAAAAUACCUCACACUUGGAUUGAUAUGAAGAAAAUCAUGAGAGAAAAAUAUGUUCCUCCAAGUUAUGCUUAUGAGUUGCGUUCCAAAUUACGACGUUUGACACAAGAUGAUAAAACUGUUGAUGAUUAUUACCAUGAGUUCCAAAUUUUAACCUUGCGAUCUGGUUUAGAUGAAACCGAAAAAAGAAAAAUGGAUAGGUUUUAUUGUGGGCUUAACUUUGAUAUUUCUUACAUAAUUGAAUACGGAAAAUACGACUCUCUAUUGUGUUUGCUUCAUCUUGCUUGUGAAGCGGAGAGGAAAUUGGAGAGAAGGUAUACAAGAAACGUGUUGAGCCUACAAGGUAAUGAUAAAGAUGAUUGUGUUGCUGAACAAAAUAUGACAUGUGAAGAAAUAAAUGAGAUACCCGUUGAAUUUUCUGCACCAUGUGAAAUUGUUGAUUUACAUGCCGAUUUGAGUGCACCUACUGCUGAAAUUAAUUCUUCUAAUGAUUUUGAAUGCACAUAUUAAUUUUGAUUUUGAUGAGAAUGAAUCAUGUGAGGAAAUAACUAAUUUUUGGGAGAAACAUGUGAUGUAGAUAAAUUUGGUUUAGGUUGUGUCGACUUAAUUACACAUGGAGUGAUUGAGAACGAUCCACCUAUUAAUUCUUUGUGUUAUAUUGCACUUGAUAGUCCCGUGUAUUUGUCGCAUGCAAUGGAUAAACUGUGUGAGUUAACAAUUUCGAAAUCUUUUGCUGUUCAUGGAUACAUAAUUCAUUUAAUUGGACAACAUGAUGUGAACAAUAACAUUUUGGUGCAUGAGAUUUGCAUUACUUGUGAUAAUUUUCCUCUCUUGGGAGAAAAGAAAUUUUUGCACAUGCUUAAUCAUUUUGAUAGGACCUCCAAUAUAGGUGUUGAUUAUUUGCCAAAUAGUUAUUUACAUGCUUGUUUGAAUAUUAGUGCUUUGACUUGCUCUAAAUUUCAGCAUAUUGUAGUAACUAAUUUGGAUACUAUUCAUUAUUAUUCUCCAAUGUUGGGAUGGUGUAAUGGUGAGCAGUGCAAACCAAAUACAAGAAAUCGUUUCGCUUAUAAAUGCAAACAAUUUUGUCAAUCUUCUUGCUGGAAUGUUAUUCAUCAUGAUUGUUUGACUAAUUAUCUCAUGAGACUUUGUUAUAAAAGAUUAAUUGUGCAAGAAAGGAGAUGUAUAAAGAUGGAUGACAUAUACAUAUACCAUGCACACACUUUGUCUAUUUUGUCAGUCUCUUUACAGCACAAACGACGCCGAGGACGGCUUUCCUUUCAAGAAAGUGAAAUGGACAUGCUAACCAUGGACCCUCAAUUCUAUAAUAUUUGACAAGAUUUAUAAUCAGGUGAAUUCAAGUAGUAAUUGUUUUCAUUGUCAUAUUUAUGAAGAGACGUAGCUACUACUAUCUUGUCUCGUUUUAUUACGUAGGCAUCUUGUCGAGCUUUUCAUGUCCAAGGUCAAGAUGAGAUACGAUGGAGGCGAACGGGAGGGCCAACAAGAAUCAAGCAUUCAUACAGCUGAGAGGGAAGGAUUUAAAGUGUACUUUCCAACAAAUCAAACGGCACAUGAUUCGGAGCUUGCUAGAGAAAGAUAUCACGAAUUAAAGUUGAAUCCGAUUCGGGUCCGAGCUGUCAGGAGACCCGAAUUUGUUUUAAUCACCCAGGCCGCAUCCGGAGUCCAAAUCAAGCAAACAAGUACUUGUUGGAAAGGUAAUUACAAGACCUUUCCAACGGAUCUGGCCCCAUCAAGAGAUUCGACUCGUGCUGACCGUGGCGGACAAAACAAGCUGACGGAUCUGUUUUUCUAUUUCCUAAAGAGUUGUAGUUUGUUAGGAAAGUUAGAGAUAGAGUUGGGUUUCGGACUCCUUAUUCAAGGUGGACGAAAAUAUCUCUCCCUCCUCCUUUAUAUACCCCAUGAGCCUCCCUAAGGAGCCUUGGGUUUUGAUUAGAUAAAGUUUAGCCAUCUUUGCUACUUUCGUGUAAUCGCGUGUGUCGGUUAGACCACCUGUUUUACCGUCGUCAGGACUCCAACUUAUCGUCUCGUUGAGACAUUGGUUUGAUAUAGUAUACUCGCAAUUUUAGAUUGCAUCUGCUAUUUAUCUUGUUCUUGCUUGUUCUUCGAUUGCUUGCAGGAACAAAGACCUUCAUGGUCAGGUUGAUCGUGCCCCCGCGUGAUCAAUAACCGUCUGGAGUUGGUGUAUCGAUUGCUAAGGCGCUGCCUCCUAGGCCGUAGUCGGAUCGUCAACGUCACCUCCUACUCAAAUCGAGAGUUAUCAAUCUCAUCGAAAGAUCGGGCCACCCCCACCCAUAUCAGAAAGGGAGGAUGAUAUGGACAUGCUAACCAUGGAUACGACCAUUAGAACUCUAAUUGUUGGUGUCUCUAAUAAUUAUAAUCAGGUGAAUUCAAUUACAAAAUGUUUUCAAUAUGUUAUUUGCAAAGAGGCGGAGCUACUAUCUUGUGUAAUCUUAUUAUGUAGGCAUCUUAUUGAACUUUACAAGUCCAAAGUGAAAAUGAAGUGUUAUAGCCUGCAAAGGGAGAUUCAAAGUGAAGCUUAUCAAGUCUACUUUCCAACAAAUCAAACGGCACAUGAUUCGGAGCUUGUUAGAGAAAGAUAUCACGAAUUAAAGUUGAAUCCGAUUCGGGUCGGAGCUGUCAGGAGACCCGAAUUUGUUUUAAUCACCCAGGCCGCAUCCGGAGUCCAAAUCAAGCAAACAAGUACUUGUUGGAAAGGUAAUUACAAGACCUUGCCAACGGAUCUGGCCCCAUCAAGAGAUUCGACUCGUGCUGACCGUGGCGGACAAAACAAGCUGACGGAUCUGUUUUUCUGUUUCCUAAAGAGUUGUAGUUUGUUAGGAAAGUUAGAGAUAGAGUUGGAUUUCGGACUCCUUAUUCAAGGUGGACGAAAAUAUCUCUCCCUCCUCCUUUAUAUACCUCAUGAGCCCCCCUAAGGAGCCUUGGGUUUUGAUUAGAUAAAGUUUAGCCUUUGCUACUUUCGUGUAAUCGCCUGUGUCGGUUAGACCACCUGUUUUACCAUCAUCAAGACUCCAACUAUAUUGAGUAUUCAGAUUCGUGAACCUUCACAUCUCCUAUUCGCAAUUUCAGAUUGCUUUUCAUCUUGUUCUUGCUUGUUCUUCGAUUGCUUGCAGGAACAAAGACCUUCGUGGUCAGGUUGAUCGUGCCCCCGCGGGAUCAAUAACCUUCUGGAGUUGGUGUAUCGAUCGCUAAGGCGCUGCCUCCUAAGUUGUAGUCGGAUCGUCAACGUCACCUCCUACCAAAUUGAUAAUUAGGUAUCUCAUCGAAAGAUCGGGACACCCUCGAGGCUAUCAGUCCGUCCUAGUGAGGGACCAUGGCUAGCGAGUUCGUACAAGUGGUCAAGUCUUGUUUCGCUUCGAUGAGUAGAUUUGUUUGGUUUGCUCGCCCUAGUACCUCAAACGGGCACGUUCCGGAUCAAAGUUUAGCACCGACUCCGAUUUGCCGAAUUGUCCGCCCUAGUAAGGGACCAUGCCUAGCAAGUCUGUACAAGUGGUCUAGUCUUGUUUCGCUUCGAUGAGUAGCUUUUCUUUGUGUGCUCAUCCUUGUGGCGACCCAGACCCGUAAGGAUCCGGACCUCUGUGUAAACUGUGCUAGUCCCUGGAUCAAAUGCUAGCACACACAGUUCCAUUGAUGAAAUAUCAUACACAUGUCUAUUACAUCGGUUUGAUUAACAAAUCCAGAGUACUUAAUACAAGCCAAGCGGAAGUUCAAAUAAAAACACACUGAUAAAGAGGGAGUCCCAUCAACGCCACAGGCAAGUUGAGUGUAGACUCGCGACCCUGCGUCUUCUUCUUAAGCGUCACACUCUGCACAUGAUAGGUGCAGGUCAGUACAUUGAAUGUACUUGCAAGUCACACCUGUGUGGUUAGGAGGAAUGCAUGGAAAUGAUGUAGGAUUUCCUAGUUUGGCUACUAGGGUUGUUUUUGCAAAAUACUGCUUUUGGGGUUUCGAAAUACUCAUAGUAUUUUCCUUUGAAAAUCUCUAUCCUGAAGUUUUGAUAAAACAGGGUUUGAACAAUAGUACGGUCAUUCUGUGGAUGUUCACUCCACGACCUAGCUAUGCACUCUGGGUCAACUGACUCUCACAUAGCAUCCAUUUUUCCUGACUCAUUCUGUGGAACCUUCCAUCGAGUCAAAACAGUUUUGGGGUUUUUGAAAACAAAACUUGAAGAUCUCCACUUCUCCUGACUUAAUGACUCAAAGUCGCCCGUAACCAGGGGCAUGGCUAAUCGAUUAGAUUGACACUCUCGAGAGGUUUGUACACUUUACCCACUUGACACAAUCAGUCCAAAGUGUUGCCUGACGACAAGCGUGCGCAACAGAUAAAGAUUGUGACGAAGUCUUUCACUAGAAGCCCCCUGAUACCUAAUUCUGGCACCGCCCGCCCCAUAUGUGCACAUUGGCUCCUCUCCGGAUGGCGAUACCCAGGUAAGGGUUUCCCGCUAGUUAGUCGACCAAGCCAGAGCCCAUAAUAGCAAGUGGUUGCACAUGAAGCUUUUGGGUACAUGAGAAGGUUUGAACUCUUGGAUUUCUGGACAGCGGUCCCCACCUUCUCCUGAGCGUGUACCCGUUACGGGGCUACAACACUUGCCGACAGCCAACUGGCCUCCCUCAUACCACUCCAUCCAGAUAAAACAAUUUGGUUUUGUUUCGAAAACAUUUUUCCAAAAACAUACUCGCUCAUAAAGAGCACUUAGUACUUUGCAAUAUAGUUUGGGUCCCGUCCCGUUAUAAUAGUAUAGCAUGCUUUGGAAAAAUGUAUGUACAUAACCUAUGGUAUUUGGUGGCAUGGCAAUAUAUCCUAUAAGCAAUCUAUUAGGAAUAACUAAACAUGUUGAAAACGCAUUUGAUAAAUACUUCGUAAAGAAAUAACUCUAACAUGCAUCCCUAGGAUGUUGUUAACAAAAUAGCAUAAGCAAAAAUAUAGGUUCUACAUGGUCAAUAAGUGUAACUUGCCUGGAUCAGAGAAGUUGUUGCGGUCGUCAACUCCCUGGCACUCUUCGCAAUCGCAAUCCGAAUAAUCUAACGCGAAGAACGAAACAACAAUAAAUGCAUAGUUCCAAACAUCUCUCAAAGACCAAAUAUAACUCCAAAUAAACUUCGGAUAUAUCACAAGCAUACAAAAACAGAACCUAAACAUCAUCUAAGUAAUACCAUAGUAUUAACAAUUCCAGUUCUAAAGCCUAAGGUUAAGGCUAGUGUGGCUAAGUCUGAAAAAUUCAGAAAUAUGCUACUGUUAACAGAUAGCAACUAGGAUUGACAGGUAAUAGGUGCUAAAGUUCAGAACAUGACAUGAAACCUAUGCUACAGUAUAGUUCUAGGGUUGUACUAACUAACGCAACAGGUUUCAGGUCAAUUGGAUAAACAGGUCAAAAGCUACUGGCUUGCAAAGGUGGCUAGUCAGAUUCUGAAAGACAAAAAUACUAACUUGUACUGAAAAGCUACUGGUGCUAAACUAUUCCAAUGACAGAGAACUAAACAAAGAAAUCCAAGAAUAUGAUCUACUCUUUCAAAUGGCACUGGUUUCACUAACUAUGGAGCUAUGAGGCAGUAGCUAUGAACAGGUGAAUGUGGCUACUCUAAAACAGAACAUAAUAGGAUAUGAACUUCUACCGUCGUGCUGCUAGUGAAGGUGAAGUUGAAAUGAUCGAACUAGAAAAUGGCUGUGAAGGGGUGUUCCUAAAGUUCAAUCUACAAAAAGAAACAACUAAAAUGAUGCUACGGGCAACAACGAGAACUACUGCGAAUAAGGCUACCCCCUAAGAAUGAUGCUGCAACUUUCUGCCGCGGCAGAGAUACGGCAGAGAAACUGAUUAGAAUACCAUUUUGCGACGACGAUGCAAAGCAAUAGAUGAACCAUCUACGGCUAAUGUCUACAGAGAAUUUGUAGAGGAACAUUCACUCUACAAAAUGGUGAAAUCUAGAGCACAUAAUGAUCAUUGGUUUGAUAGCAAACGAUGCCUAAACAGAGCUAACCGAAGAACAACAGCUGCAGUGAACUUAAAACAAGUUCAUACCCAAAUCCUCCCGGAAAUGAACGAUUCGACGAAUCGGGACUCGGGGAAGAAAAUGAAGAGUUGGGGGAGCUUCACGGCGUCGCAAGGAUCACUAGGGCGGUGGCGGCUCGGCGAACGGGGCAGCGCAGCUCCGGCAAUUUCUCGCCGGAGUUGGGCGGCGGCGGCGGUUUUGGCCGGAAUUUGGGGGCGCGUGGGCGGCAGAGAGCGUGGGCGGGCGAGGGAGUGCGCGAGAGGGGGCGCGGGGUGCUUUAUAGGGCUCGGGGCGCGUGGGCGGGCUGGCCGGCGGUUACCGCGCGACGUGGGGUCGUGGCGCGUGCGGCGACAGCGGUUGUGCAGGCGCGCGCGUGGCCAGGCGCGGGCGCGGGCCAACGCGGGCAUGCGCGGGCGCGCGGGCAGGGGCGCGAGGGCAUGCGCAGGCGCGCGCGGGCGAGCGGCCGGCGCGGCCAGCGACGGCGCGGGCGGCGCGGCCGUCGGCGGGGUCAGCGCGGCCCAACGGGCAGGCGGGCAUGCACGGCAAGCAGCGGCGGCGCGAGCGGCGGAGGUGAGGGAUGACAGGUGGACCCCACCUGUCAGUGAGAGAGAGAAGAGAUUGAAAGCGUAUUUCCUGGUAAUACGUUCCCCUGCGGUGAACGCGUAUUUCCUGAGAAUACGCUUCCCUGCGGAGAAAGCGUAUUUUCAGAGAAAAAGAAAAAGAAUAAAAGAAAAAAGAUGAAAAUUACUUUUCAGGAUCUAUAAUUCACCCGAAAUUCCAUUUAAAUCAUUUAAAAUAUCAAAUGGCUUCCGAAAAAUUCCCAAAAAUUCUGUAAAAUAAUAUAUUUCAUUUAGAGUCCAGUAAAAUUAUUCUCACUCAAAAAUAAAUUUGUAAUAAUAUUUUUUUAUGUUUCUAAGCUUUAAAUAAAUCCAAAAAAAAUCUUAGAAUGCAUUUUUAGACUCUAGAAAAAUCUCGAAUCAAUUUCUAACAACCUAUCACGUUCCAAAACACCGUUUCAAAUACUUUCAAUAAUGCAUCAUAAUAAACACCAAUAUUUUAUGAUAUGAUCAAGGUGAUAUGCAUAAGAAAUGUAAAGGUGCGAACAUCCGAAUUUGAAAAUUUUUGGGAUGUUACAAUCCUAGUGCCCGAAAUGGACCUAAGUCAGAGUAGAAGUUUAGCACCGAGUCUGAUCUGGCCGAAUUGUCCGCCUUAAUGAGGGACCAUGCCUAGCGAGACCGUACAAGUGGUCUGGUCUUGUUUCGCUUCGAUGAGUAGAUUUGUUUGGUUUGCUCAUCCUUAUACCUCAAACGGGCCCGUUCCGGAUCAAAGUUUAGCACGCACUCCGAUUUGGCCGAAUUGUCCGCCCUAGUGAGGGACCAUGCCUAUCUAGUCCGUGCAAGUGGUCUAAUCUUGUUUCGCUUCGAUGAGUAGCUUUGUUUGGUGUGCUCAUCUUAUAACGCCAAACGGACCCGUUCCGGAUCAAAGUUUAGCACCGACUACGAUUUGCCGAAUUGUUCGCCCUAGUGAGGGACCAUGCCUAGCUAGUCCGUACAAGUGGUCUAGUCUUGUUUCGCUUCGAUGAGUAGAUUUGUUUGGUUUGCUCGUCCUAGUACCUCAUGCGGGCAAGUUCCGGAUCAAAGUUUAGCACCGAGUCCGAUUUGGCCGAAUUGUCCACCCUAGUGAGGGACCAUGCCUAGCAAGUCCGUACAAGUGGUCUAGUCUUGUUUCGCUUCGAUGAGUAGCUUUGUUUGGUGUUCUCAUCUUAUAACGCCAAACCGACCCGUUCCGGAUCAAAGUUUAGCACCGACUACGAUUUGCCGAAUUGUCCGCCCUAAUGAUGGACCAUGGCUAGCGAGUCCGUGCAAGUGGUCUAGUCUUCUUUCACUUCGAUGAGUAUCUUUGUUUCGUGUGCUCAUUCUAGUACCCGAAAAUGACCUAAGUCAGAGUAGAAGUUUAGCAACGAGUCCUAUCUGGCCGAAUUCUCCGCCCUAAUGAGGGACCAUGCCCAGCGAGUCCGUACACGUGGUCUAGUCUUGUUUCGCUUCGAUGAGUAGAUUUGUUUGGUUUGCUCAUCUUAUAACGCCAAACGGACCCGUUCCGGAUCAAAGUUUAGCACUGACUCCGAUUUGGCCGAAUUGUCCGCCCUAGUGGGGGACCAUGCCUAUCUAUCCGUACAAGUGGUCUAAUCUUGUUUCGCUUCGAUGAGUAGCUUUGUUUGGUGUGCUCAUCUUAUAACGCCAAACGGACCCGUUCCGGAUCAAAGUUUAGCACCGACUCUGAUUUGCCGAAUUGUCCGCCCUAGUGAGGGACCAUGCCUAACUAGUCCGUACAAGUGGUCUAGUCUUGUUUCGCUUCAAUGAGUAGAUUUGUUUGGUUUGCUCCUCCUAGUACCUCAUACAGGCAAGUUCCGGAUCAAUGUUUUGCUUUGGCACCGACUCCGAUUUGGUCGAAUUGUCCGUCCUAGUGAGGGACCAUGCCUAGCUAGUCCGUACAAGUGGUCUACUCUUGUUUCGCUUCGAUGAGUAGCUUUGUUUGGUGUGCUGAUCUUAUAACGCAAAACGGACCCGUUGCCGAUCAAAGUUUAGCACCGACUCCUAUUUGCCGAAUUGUCCGCCCUAGUGAGGGACCAUGCCUAGCGAGUCCGUACAAGUGGUCUAGUCUUGUUUCGCUUCGAUGAGUAGCUUUGUUUGGUGUGCUCAUCUUAUAACGCCAAACAGACCCGUUCCGGAUCAAAGUUUAGCACCGACUCCGAUUUGCCGAAUUGUCCGCCAUAUUGAGGGACCAUGCCUAGCGAGUCCGUACAAGGGGUCAAGUCUAGUUUCGCUUCGAUGAGUAGAUUUGUUUGGUUUGCUUAUCCUAGUACCUCAAACGGGCCCGUUCUGGAUCAAUGUUUCGCACCGACUGAGGUGUCGCCGAAUUGUCCACCCUUGUGAGGAACCAUGCAUAGAGUCCGUACACGUGGUCUAGUCUUGUUUCGCUUCGAUGAGUAGCUUUGUUUGGUGUGCUGAGCAUAUAACGCCAAACGGGCCCGUUGCGGAUCUGAUACGGGUGCGGGUGGCCCGAUCUUUCGAUGAGAUUGGUAACUCUCGAUUUGGGUAGGAGGUGACGUUGACGAUCCGACUACGGCCUAGGAGGCAGCGCCUUAGCAAUCGAUACACCAACUCCAAAGGGUUAUUGAUCUCGCGGGGGCACGAUCAACCUGACCACGAAGGUCUUUGUUCCUGCAAGCAAUCGAAGAACAAGCAAGAACAAGAUAAAUAGCGGAUGCAAUCUAAAAUUCCGAAUAUACUAUAUCAAACCAAUGUCUCAACGAGACGAUAAGUUGGAGUCUUAACGACGGUAAAACAGGUGGUCUAACCGACACACGCGAUUACACGAAAGUAGCAAACAUGGCUAAACUUUAUCUAAUCAAAACCCAAGGCUCCUUAGGGGGGAUCAUGGGGUAUAUAAAGGAGGAGGGAGAGAUAUUUUCGUCCACCUUGAGUAAGGAGGCCGAAAUCCAACUCUAUCUCUAACUUUCCUAACAAACUACAACUCUUUAGGAAACAGAAAAACAGAUCCGUCAGCUUGUUUUGUCCGUCACGGUCAGCACGAGUCGAAUCUUUUGAUGGGGCCAGAUCCGUUGGAAAGUCUUGUAAUUACCUUUCCAACAAGUACUUGUUUGCUUGAUUUGGACUCCGGAUGCGGCCUGGGUGAUUAAAACAAAUUCGGGUCUCCUGGCAGCUCGGACCCGAAUCGGAUUCAACUUUAAUUCGUGAUAUCUUUCUCUAGCAAGCUCCGAAUCAUGUGCCGUUUGAUUUGUUGGAAAGUACACUUGAAAUCCUUCCCUCUCAGCUGUAUGAAUGCUUGAUUCUUGUUGGCCCUCCCGUUGGCCUCCAUUGUAUCUCAUCUUGACCUUAGACUUGAAAAACUCGACAAGAUGCCUACGUAAGAAAACGAGACAAGAUAGUAGUAACUCUGCCUCUUCAUAAAUAUGACAAUGAAAACAAUUACUACUUGAAUUCACCUGAUUAUAAAUCUUGUCAAAUAUUAUAGAAUUGAGGGUACCAAAGGUCGUAUCCAUGGUUAGCAUGUCCAUAUCAGGGGAAGUGGUAGAGGAGUUCGGAGGCUUCAAUAUGACGCGCGGGGUUUCGAAUUUGUUUGUUCGUGCGCGAAGAAAUCGGAACGGAAUCGUGGGUGACUCGGAGUCAUUCGUGGCCAAGCUUCUCGAGCAGUCGGUUGGAGAAGAAGAUGAGCGCGGGUCCCAGCGGUCAGUGAGAGCGGGCCGGCCGGUUUGGGCUGGGCCGGUCCGGUCCGGUUUGACCGGUUUUUCCUUUUCUUUUGUCUAUUUUCUGUUUUUGAACCUCAAAAUUGAUUCGAAGCUCCAAAUCACUCCAAAUAAAUUGCAACAAAAAAUUGUAAAAUCAUAUUUUCAUAUGAUCUAACUUUUGGAACAAUAAUUUUCUCAAAAUAAAAUAUUUAAAAAUACAUUUGCCUAUAAAAUGGCUUUUAGGGCCCUUAGGCUAUCGAAACAAAUUAUUUUUCAAAAUACUUUCAAAAGUCAAUUUAUGGGAUAGCUCUAUAUAUGCAUUAAAUCCCUUUUUACCACAAUACUCUCAUGGGUUAAAGUGCAAAUACUCAAAAGCAAGAUUAAAGCCUAAAAUCAAAUAAAGGCAUAUUUGCAAAAGGGUUUUCUGGGCAAAUUUUCGGGUUAUGAAAGUGAUCAAAUGCAAGGGUGACAUGAUGCUUAUGAUAUGCAAUGCAUAUGAAGAGUUUUGAAAAUUGGGAUGUUACAGAUUUAACCCCCUUAAGAUGAAUCUCGUCCUCGAGAUUCCUGUUGGUAAGCAAAAAGGUGUGGGUGGUCUUCUGGAAGAUCAUCCUCGCGUUCCCACGUAGCUUCUUCUUCGGUGUGGUGAUUCCAUUGAACCUUGCAGAACUUGAUUGUCUUGGAACGGGUAUGUCUUUCCGCUGUUUCCAAGAUCCUGAUUGGUUUCUCUUCAUAUGUGAGAUCGCUUUGAAUCUCCACUUCGUCAAGUGAAACUGUAUCCCUUAGUGGCGUAUCGGCCAUUUCCGGGUGACACUUCUUUAACUGUGACACGUGGAAAACGUCGUGGACACUUGUCAACUUUUCAGGUAACUCCAACUUGUAAGCAACCUCUCCUUGGCGUGCUAGAACCUUGUAGGGUCCAAUAUAGCGUGGCGCUAGUUUUUCUUUAAUCCCAAAUCUCUUAACUCCGCGUAUCGGGGAAACUCUGAGAUACGCUCUGUCACCAAUCUCGUUGAUGACAUCCCUUCGUUUGGAAUCUGCAUAAAUCUUUUGCCUGGAUUGAGCUAUCUUGAGUCUGUCUUGAAUCAGUCUGACCUUCUCUUCAGCGUCCUUUAUCAUAUCAGGUCCGAAUAGACUACGGUCUCCUAUACCAUCCCAUAGCAAAGGUGUCCUGCACUUCUUGCCAUACAAAGCUUCGAAUGGUGCCAUUCCAAUACUCGCUUGAAAACUGCUGUUGUAUGAGAACUCUGCAUAUGGUAGAUUCUCAUCCCAGCUAGAACCAUAGUCUAGAGCGCAAGCUCUUAACAUAUCCUCGAGAAUUUGGUUCACUCUUUCUGUUUGUCCAUUUGUCUGUGGGUGAAAUGUUGUGCUAAACUCUAGUCUCGUGCCUAGAGACUCGUGCAAUUGUCCCCAAAAUCUUGAGGUAAAUUGGGUACCUCUGUCUGAAACGAUCUCUUUAGGAACUCCAUGUAGGCAUACAAUCCUAGACAUGUAUCGUUUGGCCAACUGUGCACUUGUAUAAGUAGUCUUCACAGGUAUGAAAUGGGCAACUUUGGUCAAACGGUCAACUACUACCCAUAUUGAAUCAUAACCAGACCUUGUCCUUGGUAAGCCGGUGAUGAAGUCCAUGCCUACCUUAUCCCAUUUCCAGUCUGGCACUGGCAAUGGUCGUAGUAAUCCAGCUGGUUUCUGAUGUUCAGCCUUGACUCUACUACAAACAUCACAUAGAGCGAUAUACUCAGUGAUGUCUCGCUUCAAUCCAGUCCACCAAAAAUUUUCUUUCAAGUCCAUGUACAUCUUUGUAUUACCGGGAUGGAUUGAGUACGGUGAAUCAUGAGCUUCUUGUAGUAUUAGCUUUCUGAUCUCGGGAUCUUGUGGUACACAAAUACGCUUCUCAAACCAUACGGUACCUUGAUCGUCCUCAACGAAUCCUUUUGCCUUCUCAAUCGCCAUAUUAUCCUUUAUCGUUCUAAUUUCUGAGUCUUCUUUCUGGGCUUCUCUAAUUCUGUCCAGUAGAGUGGGUUGUACCUCCAUGUUGGCUAAGUAACCUUCCGGGACUAUCUCCAAUCUGAGGUCUUUGAAUUGCUCACACAAUUCAGCAGGUAACUCUCCAGCUGUAAGUUCAUUAACAUAGCCCUUGCGGCUCAAAGCGUCAGCUACUACGUUAGCCUUGCCUGGAUGGUAUUGAAGAUUCAGAUUAUAAUCCUUGAUUAACUCUAACCAUCUUCUUUGUCUCAAGUUCAAUUCUUUCUGCGUGAAUAUAUACUUCAAGCUCUUGUGAUCGGUGAAUAACUCACAUUGCUUUCCCAUGAGAUCGUGCCUCCAAGUCUUGAGUGCGUGCACUACAGAUGCUAGUUCCAAAUCAUGAGUGGGGUAAUUUCUUUCAUGAUUCUUUAGUUGUCUUGAGGCGUAUGCUACGACUCUUCCUCCUUGCAUCAAAACACAUCCCAAUCCUAGACGCGAAGCGUCACAGUACACUUGAAAGUCUUCCAGUAAGUUGGGUAAAACGAGGAUGGGUGCUGAUACUAGCCUCUUCUUCAAAUCCUGAAAACUUUCCUCACAUUUAUCAGUCCAUUCAAACUUCUUUUCUUUCUUCAAAAGCUCGGUCAUAGGUUUGGCUAUCUUGGAGAAAUUCUCUAUGAACCUCCUGUAAUAUCCAGCAAGUCCUAGGAAGCUGCGAACAUCUCCGACGUUCUUAGGGACUUCCCAUUCAGUCACCGCUGCUACUUUAGCGGGGUCGACGGCAAUUCCAUUUCCUGACACAAUGUGUCCCAAGAAACCAACUUUGGACAACCAAAAUUCACACUUGCUGAAUUUUGCAUAAAGCUUGUGCUCUCUAAGCUUUUCCAUGAUCAGACGCAAAUGUUCUUCAUGUUCUUCUUCUUUGCUCUUCGAGUAGAUCAAAAUGUCGUCGAUGAAUACUACGACAAACCUAUCCAAAUAUUCCAUGAAUACCUUGUUCAUCAUAUUCAUGAAGUAUGCCGGGGCAUUGGUUAAUCCAAAAGGCAUCACUGUGUACUCAUACAGGCCAUACCUAGUGGUAAAUGCUGUUUUGGGUAUAUCCACUUCUCGGAUCUUUAACUGAAAAUAACCUGAUCGAAGAUCGAUCUUUGAGAAAACACAGGCUCCUUUCAAUUGAUCAAAUAGAUCAUUGAUUAUGGGUAGUGGGUACUUGUUCUUUAUCGUCACUUCAUUCAGUGAACGAUAGUCUAUGCACAUCUUUUGGCUCUUGUCUUUCUUUUCCACAAAUAGAACAGGUGCUCCCCAUGGUGAUGAGCUAGGGCGAAUAAAUCCUUUGGCCAACUGUUCUGCAAGUUGCUUCUUCAGCUCUUUCAAUUCAUCUACGGCCAUCUUAUAUGGUCUCUUGGCUAUAGGUCCACUUCCGGGCAAUAACUCGAUAAGAAAUUCCACAUCUCGGUCUGGUGGCAUGCCUGGUAAUUCCCCUGGAAAUACAUCCGGAUAUUCUUUCACUAUCGGUACAUCCUCUAGGCUAACCCCCUUAAGAGAAUUUACCUUGGGUAAUUUAAGCUCAUAGUUUGACUUGAAGCGGAUUCGCUUCUUCUCUGGAGUUGUGAGUGUGAUUGUCCUCUUGACACAAUCUAUAAGUCCUUCAUACUUGGCUAACCAAUCCAUUCCUAGUAUCAGAUCCAAACCUUUUGAUCCCAACACUAUCAGGUCUGUGGGGAAAUUGUGUUUUCCAAUUACUAGUGUUAGCAUUCGGCAUUCACAAGCCGUUAUCAUCUCUCCCCCAGGUGACUUCACCUUCAUAGGGUUCACUAAGGUACUAGUGUUUAAUCCAUUCUCAUGAACAAAACUCCUUGAGAUAAAAGAAUGCGAUGCACCGGUAUCAAACAGUACGAGUGCUUCAAAAGAAUUUAGACGGAAGGUGCCGAUUACGAUACCUUGCUCCUCCGUGAUUUCUUCCACGUUGACGUGGUUCACAUUGCCCUUCUGAAAUGGGUUGGGCUUUGCUCCAGCCUCAUUGAACUUCUCCGGACAAUCAUUGGAGUAGUGCCCCAUCUUGUGACACUUAAAGCAUUGCACUUGGCUCAUAUCCCUGCCAGUGGUGCGGUUCUGUCCUGGGUUUCCUCCAUUGUUAUGGCCACUGCCUUUGUUGCUGUUGAUCCUUGGAUGCUGGUGCUGGUGGUGGUGCUGGUGGUUCCGGCUGCCAUUUCCUCCCUGGUGGUGAUGGUGUCCUUGAUUUCCAUGGCGAUGAUAGUGUCCACUCCCUUCAUGGUGACUCUGAUGAUUUCCACCAUGCUUAACCAUCGAAGAGCUGCCACUAACCUCGUACGAAGUGCGCGGCUUCUGGUGUGGUCCACCAUGGUUGUUGCCAGGGUGAGGCCUCUUCCUUCUGUUCUCCAUCUGAUUCUGCUUGUUCUCCAGAAUGAUGGCUUUGUCCAUGAGGGAUUGGUAUGUAGGGAUGUAAACAACUGCUAGUUGAACGGCGAGUUCGUCGUUCAAGCCAUCCAAAAACCUUUCCCGGCGUUUUGCAUCAGUGUUGACGUCAUCCGGGGCAUAACGAGACAACUUGUUGAAGGUCUCGAUAUAUUCUGACACAGUCCUGUUCCCUUGCCUCAGUUUGUGGAACUCCCUCUUCUUCAAGCUCAGCACGCCCGCAGAGAUGUGGGCGGUGCGGAAGGCAUCUUGGAACAUUUCCUAUGUUACCUCUUCCAUGGGUGUAGUGAUUUGAUAAGUCUCCCACCAAGCUGCGGCGGGUCCUUCAAGCAGGUGAGCAGCAAACCUCACCUUGUCAGCUUCAUUGCAGCCAACUGUCACUAGGCAUUUACAAUCGGUUCCGGGGAGCUGGUGAAUGUUGGUGGACGCAGCCUCAGAAACCUGGUUAACAUGUCCACUUGAGGUGGUGGGUUGGGGUUCUGGUUGUUGUGGUUGUUGUUGUUGUUGUUCAUCUGCUGGGUCAAGGCUUGCAAAAUCUGAGUCUGUGCAGCCAGUAGUUGCUGCAUAGUGGCGGCGUUGUUGUCCUGACCCUCCUCAUUGUUGUUGUCAGCAAGGCGGCGAGUAUCGCGUCUCGGCGGCAUCUGUUUUGGGACAGCAUAGAUGAGAAAAUAGAUAGACAGGAUCUAAGAGAAAACUAAGCCCCACAGCACAGGCAAUACAACAGUUCAAACAACAAGCAUAACACAAGCAUGGCAAUUCAAUCGUGAAACAUGUCAUCUAUAAAACAAGCAAAAGCAUUCACUAGGAUUUUAACAUCCAAGACAAAUAGUUCACAAGGCGUACUAGCCCAAAACACAAGUGAAAAGCUGCAAGUAAAAACACGAAUCUACAUUGCCAUACCACAACGACGGCAUGGUCAAUGACUAACACGAUAACGAAUAUAGUAUAAUGAAUAAUUUGGCGGGCUCUAAGCUGAAACUAAGGAAGUGAAAGGAAGUUGGUGUUCCCGGAGUUCUUUUCCCUAGAACGGGUGCGGGUGGCAGGUGUGUCCAUCUCCUGCGCCUCCUGAGGUUCCUCCUCCUGUGGCUCCAUCUCCUCGUCCUGAGGGGGUGGUGGAACUUGUGCCGGUGCAAGUGCAGGGUUGGCAUUGUUGACCUGGGCUUGGAGCUAAUCAUACUGAAGUUGUAGGAGAUCCUUCUCGUACAUAAUCUGCUCCAUGAUCGCGUGCAUGUUCAGGAUAACAUCUCCCCUGCGGUUCACCUCAUUUGUCUUCAACGUCAGUUGACCUUGGAGUAUCCCCACCUGGUCUUUAGCUAUAUCUGCACGGGUCAUCUCGUUGUAGAGACUCUUUCCUAUGUCCACCAUGUUCUGCUCCAGAGCUUGAAACUGAACAUCCUCCAUGUGCGGAUCCUCGCCUAGGAUCUCCGGUCCCACGGCAUUCCCGCCAACAACUCGCCUUCCGAAGCUACGGAAAACAGAGUUCGGAGGCAGUUCAUCAUGGUACGCCUCGCACACACGAGCUAUCGCAUGUUGCAUGGCGAACUGGAGUCCCAGCAUGAAGUCGGGGUAGCGCACGGAGUAGGUGAUGUCGGGCGUCAAUGGAACAACAGUCCGUCCUUUGAUCUCCGUGUCGAUCUCCCAGCGGCGUGCACCUCCCUGGGAUCCCACCGGCUCAGCACGUCCUCGGAAACAGGGUGCUGCCAGGUGCAGUGUCGUGCACAAAGUAGCAAGCUGUCUCCCAAACGGGAUGUCGUCGUCAACUGUCGGGUAAUGGACGUGUGUGAAAGGUGGCUCAUCUCCGAAAUUUGGUGGACCCUUCAUCUACAAGAUUUAUGGUGGAGGGAAGGAAUUAGUCAUAUGAUCAAGUAGGUGGAUGCAUAAAUGUAAUAAUGACAAUAUAAGGUGUAUGUUAUGCAAACAUGACGUAUGAUUGUAAUAGUGGAAAGCAUGACAUUGUAGUAUGAGGUGUAUAUAUAAAUGCAUAUAAAAUCUGAGGAUGCAAGUGGAUGAAGUAAAACACAAGUAGUACAUAUGCAUUGGUCAUUGGUAUGAUUGUAAGUGUAUAUGAAUAUGCAAGUAUCACAAUAUGCAAAUUUAGAGUGGUAUGAAAUGCAUAGAACAAUCCUAUGGUCUCUUUUGGUCUAAUCCAUGCUAGGGUCACGUUCCUACAGGCAACACAAUGCUCUGAUACCAUCUGAAGCGACCGCCCCUGUAUACGGGUUCGAUCUCUGUGCUUUAGUGCUAGUCCCUGGAUCGACUCACUAGCACACACAGUUUCAAGAUGUAAUAUCAUAGAACAAAGGUCUCAAUAUUACAACGAAUCAUCCAGAAUUUAAAGGUACUUACAACUCGCAUAAGCUCACCGGUUAGCUGAAAAUAAAACAACUGUUUAGCAGCGGAAAACGGAAGAUACAAGGGCACAUCAACACCACGGUGAGAGCGUGUUGGAAUGUAAGCCCGUAACCCAAACAAGUAGAACGUACAUCUUACUCGUCGUCGGAGCUUCCUGCAUCAUUAAACGACGCAGCCACUAGGGUCAAUACAUUGAAUGUAUUGGCAAGAUUCACUAGGAGUUAUAGCAGAGCUACCAAAUAUAUGCAUAAUGUGGCAAAGUAGGGUUCAAGCUAUUUGCUUAAAAGCUUAGUUAUUGAAUCCUAUCUUUUAAUCAAAUAGAAUUUUAUCACUAUUGGACACGGGGUAGACACACCCAUGCUCCUAUUAUCCUAGAGCACAUUGAUGUGGAUUCAUCAAGUGCUCCUACCCUGUUCAACCAUUCAUUUUAUUUAAGAAGUUAGAAUGAGUGAGACUUUCCUUACAGCUCCACAUCUAGUCGCUCAAAUUGUCCGUUGCCGGGGACACGGCUAAGUACUUAGUUUUGACGCUCUCGAGAGUUUGUACACAUUCCCCACAAGAAACCGACGUGUUAAUCCCUUGCUGUCCUCAGGGUAGAGUAGCAACGGCAUCGAUUACGAGAUUUUCAAAGGUAAUUCCCUAAACACGAGAGAAUCACGCUCCCCCUACACGGCUACCUCAGUACAAUUCUUCGGGUUUAGGUUCAUACAACUUACUCUUGUCUCGCCAGAGCCCAUAUAGCAUUGUGGUUGUACUAGAAGCUUCUAAAUAGGAAACUAGUCCAAUCUCGGUUACCCCAGGUGGCAUUCCACAUUUGCAACGUAGGCGCUCUCCGAAUCCACGGGAUAGACGUCCAUGGACGAUCCAUUCCUGAAUCCACAGGAACUCGACUCAGAGGGACCCAUAGAAAUGGACCUGACGCCGCUAAUCCUCAAAAUCUUCAAAGCAGCCCACCCAGGACGGUUCAUUGAAUUAUUUGUUUUGCCUUACAUCUAACAAAACAUUUCAUAUCGCCAAAGGCAUAACAAUAUCAUAAUGUAGUUAUUUCCCCCACGAUACUACCAUAGCCUAGCAUUCAACUACAAUCGAUGGCAAUUUGGUAGCAAGGUAAUGGCGAGGGUAAACUAGACUACCUGGGAUUUAUAGCUAGCAUAGAAGUACGAGUAAUAUUCCUGAUGCAUCUAAUAAAACAUCUAGUGCAUAGUAAAAAUAUUUAGGAGAAUGAUCAAAGUGAACUUGCCUUGUCCAAGGUUGUGGUAGUUCUCGCACUCUUCGCAACAACAAUGAUUACACUCCACACAAUCUAAAAUAAAAGGAACACACACAAUAAACACAACACUCAAUACAAAAUCAUGCCAUGAUGCAUAUGCUAUGAUGAUGCACAACGAAGGUUACUUCUAAAGUAAAAAGUUUCAUUUCCGUUUUGAAAAGUUUUUCAAAUGAUUUGGAGAGAUUAUACACCAAUAAGGAGUUAACAAAUAUGCAUGAAACAUGGAUAGGGUUUAAAACAAAAAAUUGUGCGGCUUUUGUAACAUAGAGCAAGAUUUAAACUUGUAAGCCAUUUUUAUUCGCAAAACAAUUUCUUUUCUGGUCCUAAUGGACAGACAACAAGUUUAAAUAAUUUUACAGAAAGAUAACAUGCUAAAAACUAUUUUGAAACAAUUCAUUUGAAAUUUAAAACAUAAACCACCAAUCUGUAAAUAGCUACUGUCUAAGUUGUUCAAAACUGAAAUUAAACAGUGCCAAAAUAUUCUACACGUUGUGACGAUUCCAGAAAGGUAUGGAACACAAUUUUUGGAUAAACGGUUUAAAAGAUAUAAGGUUUUGAAGUUGUAGGGGCUUUUCUGCAAAAUUGCAUUAUCCAAUUUGGCCGAAUUAAAAUAAAACAAAAGUUUUUGCCACGUGGCAGCGUGGGAUAGGCCGGGAUCUAGGGUUCCGGCCGGCGGCUAGCUCGCCGGUGGCGCCGCGGGGCGGCACGGCGCACGGGCGCGGGGCGGAGCGCGGGACGGGGGCGGAGUGGCCGGAUUUGGACUCCGGAUGCGGCCUGGGUGAUUAAAACAAAUUCGGGUCUCCUGGCAGCUCGGACCCGAAUCGGAUUCAACUUUAAUCCGUGAUAUCUUUCUCUAGCAAGCUCCGAAUCAUGUGCCGUUUGAUUUGUUGGAAAGUACACUUGAAAUCCUUCCCUCUCAGCUAUAUGAACGCUUGAUUCUUGUUGGCCCUCCAGUUCGCCUCCAUCGUAUCUCAUCUUGACCUUGCACUUGAAAAGCUCAACAAGAUGCCUACGUAAUAAAACGAGACAAGAUAGUAGUAGCUCCCCCUCUUCAUAAAUAUGACAAUGAAAACAAUUACUACUUGAAUUCACCUGAUUAUAAAUCUUGUCAAAUAUUAUAGAAUUGAGGGUACCAAAGGUUGUAUCCCUGGUUAGCAUGUCCAUAUCAAGAUUUGUUUGAUUUGCUAAUCCUAGUACCUCAAACGGGAACGUUCCGGAUCAAAGUUUAGCAACGACUCCGAUAUGCCGAAUUGUAUGCCCUAGUGAGGGACCAUGCCUAGCCAGUAUGUACAAGUGGUCCAGUCUUGUUUUGCUUCGAUGAGUAGCUUUUUUUGGUGUGCUCAUAUUAUAACGCCAAACCGACCCGUUCCGCAACAAAGUUUAGCAUCGACUCCGAUUUGCCGAAUUGUCCGCUCUAAUUAGGGACCAUGGCUAGCGAGUCCGUAAUAGUGGUCUAGUCUUCUUUCGCUUCGAUGAGUAUCUUUGUUUGGUGUGCUCAUUCUAGUACCCGAAAUGGACCUAAGUCAGAGUAGAAGUUUAGCACCGACUCCGAUCUGGCCGAAUUGUCCGUCCUAGUGAGGGACCAUGCCUAGCGAGUCCGUACAAGUGGUCAAGUCCUGUUUCGCUUCGACGAGUAGAUUUGUUUGGUUUGCUCAUCCUAAUACCUCAAACGGGCUGUUCCGGAUCAACGUUUAGCACGGACUCCGAUUUGGCCGAAUUGUCCGCCCUAGUGAGGGACCAUGCCUAGCCAGUCUGUACAAGUGGUCUAGUCUUCUUUCGCUUCGAUGAGUAACUUUGUUUGGUGUGCUCAUUCUAGUACCCGAAAUGGACCUAAGUCAGAGUAGAAGUUUAGCACCGACUCCGAUCUGGCCGAAUUGUCCGUCCUAGUGAGGGACCAUGCCUAGCGAGUCCGUACAAGUGGUCAAGUCCUGUUUCGCUUCGACGAGUAGAUUUGUUUGGUUUGCUCAUCCUAGUACCUCAAACGGGCUGUUCCGGAUCAACGUUUAGCACGGACUCCGAUUUGGCCGAAUUGUCCGCCCUAGUGAGGGACCAUGCCUAGCCAGUCUGUACAAGUGGUCUUGUCUUGUUUCGCUUCCAUGACUAGAUUUGUUUGGUUUGCUCAUCCUAGUACCUCAAACGGCCCGUUCCGGAUCAAAGUUUAGCACGGACUAUGAUUUGGCCGAGUUGUCCGCCCUAGUGAACGACCAUGCCUAUCUAAUCCGUACAAGUGGUCUAAUCUUGUUUUGCUUCGAUGAGUAGCGUUGUUUGGUGUGCUCAUCUAAUAACGCCAAACCGAACCGUUCCGGAUCAAAGUUUAGCACCGACUCCGAUUUGCCGAAUUGUCCGCCCUAAUGCGAGACCAUGCCUAGCGAGUCCGUGCAAGAGGUCUAGUCUUCUUUCGUUUCGAUGAGUAUCUUUGUUUCGUGUGCUCAUUCUUGUAGCCGAAACUGGCCUAAGUCAGAGUGGAAGUUUAGCACCGACUCCGAUCUGGCCGAAUUGUCCGUCCGAGUGAGGGACCAUGCCUAGCGAGUCCGUACAAGUGGUCUAGUCUUGUUUCGCUUCGAUGAGUAUCUUUCUUUGGUUUGCUCACCCUAGUACCUCAAACGGACCUGUUCCCGAUCAAAGUUUAGCACCGACUCCGAUUUGCCGAAUUGUCCGCCCUCAUGAGGGACCAUGCCUAGCUAGUCCGUACAAGUUGUCUAGUCUUGUUUCGCUUCGAUGAGUAGAUUUGUUUGGUUUGCUCAUCCUAGUACCUCAUACGGGCAAGUUCCGCAUCAAAGUUUAGCACGGACUCCGAUUUGGCCGAAUUGUCCGCCCUAGUGAGGGACAAUGCCUGUCUAGUCCGUACAAGUGGUCUAAUCUUGUUUUGCUUCGAUGAGUAGCUUUGUUUGGUGUGCUCAUCUUAUAACGCCAAACCGAACCGUUCCGGAUCAAAGUUCAGCACCGACUCCGAAUUGCCGAAUUGUCCGCCCUAAUGUGGGACCAUGCCUAGCGAGUCCGUGCAAGUGGUCUAGUCUUCUUUCGCUUCGAUGAGUAUCUUUGUUUCGUGUGCUCAUUCUAGGACCCGAAAUGGGCCUAAGUCAGAGUGGAAGUUUAGCACCGACUCCGAUCUGGCCGAAUUGUCCAUCCUAGCGAGGGACCAUGCCUAGCGAGUCCGUACAAGUGGUCUAGCCAUGUUUCGCUUCGAUGAGUAUCUUUCUUUGGUUUGCUCACCCUACUACCUCAAACGGACCUGUUCUCGAUCAAAGUUUAGCACCGACUCCGAUUUGCCGAAUUGUCCGCCCUAGUGAGGGACCAUGCCUAGCAAGUCCGUACAAGUUAUCUAGUCUUGUUUCGCUUCGAUGAGUUGAUUUGUUUGGUUUGCUCAUCCUAGUACCUCAUACGGGCAAGUUCCGCAUCAAUGUUUAGCACGGACUCUGAUUUGGCCGAAUUGUCCGCCCUAGGGAGGGACCAUGCCUGUCUAGUCCGUACAAGUGGUCUAAUCUUGUUUUGCUUCGAUGAGUAGCUUUGUUUGGUGUGCUCAUCUUAUAACGCCAAACCGAACCGUUCCGGAUCAAAGUUUAGCACCGACUCCGAAUUGCCGAAUUGUCCGCCCUAAUGUGGGACCAUGCCUAGCGAGUCCGUGCAAGUGGUCUAGUCUUCUUUCGCUUCGAUGAGUAUCUUUGUUUCGUGUGCUCAUUCUAGUACCCGAAAUGGGCCUAAGUCAGAGUGGAAGUUUAGCACCGACUCCGAUCUGGCCGAAUUGUCCAUCCUAGCGAGGGACCAUGCCUAGGGAGUCCGUACAAGUGGUCUAGCCAUGUUUCACUUCGAUGAGUAUCUUUCUUUGGUUUGCUCACCCUACUACCUCAAACGGACCUGUUCUCGAUCAAAGUUUAGCACCGACUCUGAUUUGCCGAAUUGUCCGCCCUAGUGAGGGACCAUGCCUAGCUAGUCCGUACAAGUUGUCUAGUCUUGUUUCGAUUCGAUGAGUUGAUUUGUUUGGUUUGCUCAUCCUAGUACCUCAUACGGGCAAGUUCCGCAUCAAAUUUUAGCACGGACUCCGAUUUGGCCGAAUUGUCCGCCCUAGUGAGGGACCAUGCCUCUCUAGUCCGUACAAGUGGUCUAAUCUUGUUUUGCUUCGAUGAGUAGCUUUGUUUGGUGUGCUCAUCUUAUAACGCCAAACCGAACCGUUCCGUAUCAAAGUUUAGCACCGACUGCGAAUUGCCGAAUUGUCCGCCCUAAAGCGGGACCAUGCCUACUGAGUCCGUGCAAGUGGUCUAGUCUUCUUUCGCUUCGAUGAGUAUCUUUGUUUCGUGUGCUCAUUCUAGUUCCCGAAAUGGGCCCAAGUCAGAGUAGAAGUUUAACACCGACUCCGAUCUGGCCGAAUUGUCCGUCGUAGUGAGGGACCAUGCCUAGCGAGUCCGUACAGGUGGUCUAGUCUUGUUUUGCUUCGAUGAGUAUCUUUCUUUGGUUUGCUCACCCUAGUACCUCAAACGGGCACGUUCCGGAUCAAUGUUUAGCACCGACUAUGAUUUAGCCGAAUUGUCCGUCCUGGAGAGGGACCGCGCCUAGCGAGUCCGUACAAGUGGUCUAGUCUUAUUUCGCUUCGAUGAGUAGCUUUGCUUUGUGUGCUCAUCCUAGUACCCUAAAUGGACCCGACUCCGAUUAGAAGUUUAGCACCGACUCCGAUCUUGCGGAAUUGUCCGUCCUAGUGAGGGAGCAUGCCUAGCGAGUCCGUACAAGUGGUAUAGUCUUGUUUCGCUUCGAUGAGUAGAUUUGUUUGGUUUGCUCAUCCUAGUACCUCAAACGGGCCCCUUCCGGAUCAAAGUUUAGCAUGGACUCCGAUGUGGCCGAAUUGUCCGCCCUAGUGAGGGACCAUGCCUAGCUAGUCCGUACAAUGGUCCAAUCUUGUUUCGCUUCGAUGAGUAGCUUUGCUUGGUGUGCUCAUCCUAGUACUCAAAAUGGACCCGACUCCGAAUAGAAGUUUAGCACCGACUCCGAUCUGGCCGAAUUGUCCGUUCUAGUGAGGGACCAUGCCUAGCGAGUCCGUACAAGUGGUCUAGCCAUGUUUCGCUUCGAUGAGUAUCUUUCUUUGGUUUGCUCACCCUACUACCUCAAACGGACCUGUUCUCGAUCAAAGUUUAGCACCGACUCCGAUUUGCCGAAUUGUCCGCCCUAGUGAGGGACCAUGCCUAGCUAGUCCGUACAAGUUGUCUAGUCUUGUUUCGCUUCGAUGAGUUGAUUUGUUUUGUUUGCUCAUCCUAGUACCUCAUACGGGCAAGUUCCGCAUCAAAUUUUAGCACGGACUCCGAUUUGGCCGAAUUGUCCGCCCUAGUGAGGGACCAUGCCUCUCUAGUCCGUACAAGUGGUCUAAUCUUGUUUUGCUUCGAUGAGUAGCUUUGUUUGGUGUGCUCAUCUUAUAACGCCAAACCGAACCGUUCCGGAUCAAAGUUUAGCACCGACUCCGAAUUGCCGAAUUGUCCGCCCUAAAGCGGGACCAUGCCUAGCGAGUCCGUGCAAGUGGUCUAGUCUUCUUUCGCUUCGAUGAGUAUCUUUGUUUCGUGUGCUCAUUCCUAGUAUCACAUCCAAACCUUUUGAUCCUAACACUAUCAGGUCUGUGGGGAAAUUGUGUUUUCCAAUUACUAGUGUUAGCAUUCGGCAUUCACAAGCCGUUAUCAUCUCUCCCCCAGGUGACUUCACCUUCAUAGGGUUCACUAAGGUACUAGUGUUUAAUCCAUUCUCAUGAACAAAACUCCUUGAGAUAAAAGAAUGCGAUGCACCGGUAUCAAACAGUACGAGUGCUUCAAAAGAAUUUAGACGGAAGGUGCCGAUUACGAUACCUUGCUCCUCCGUGAUUUCUUCCACGUUGACGUGGUUCACAUUGCCCUUCUGAAAUGGGUUAGGCUUUGCUCCAGCCUCAUUGAACUUCUCCGGACAAUCGUUGGAGUAGUGCCCCAUCUUGUGACACUUAAAGCAUUGCACUUGGCUCAUAUCCCUGCCAGUGGUGCGGUUCUGUCCUGAGUUUCCUCCAUUGUUAUGGCCACUGCCUUUGUUGCUGUUGAUCCUUGGAUGCUGGUGUUGGUGUUGGUGCUGGUGGUUCCAGCUGCCAUUUCCUCCCUGGUGGUGGUGGUGGUGUCCUUGAUUUCCAUGGCGAUGAUAGUGUCCACUCCCUCCAUGGUGACUCUGAUGAUUUCCACCAUGCUUAACCCUCGAGGAGCUGCCACUACCCUCGUACGAGGUGCGCGGCUUCUGGUGUGGACCAGCGUGGUUGUUGCCAUGGUGAGGCCUCUUCCUUCUGUUCUCCAUCUGAUUCUGCUUGUUCUCUAGAAUGAUGGCUUUGUCCAUGAGGGACUGGUAUGUAGGGAUGUAAACAACUGCCAGUUGAACGGCGAGUUCGUCGUUCAAGCCAUCCAAAAAUCUUUCCCGGUGUUUAGCAUCGGUGUUGACGUCAUCCGGGGCAUAGCGAGACAACUUGUUGAAAGCUUCGAUGUACUCUGACACAGUCCUGUUCCCUUGCCUCAGUUUGUGGAAUUCCCUUUUCUUCAAGCUCAGCACGCCUGCAGAGAUGUGGGCGGUGCGGAAGGCUUCUUGGAACAUUUCCCAUGUGACUUCUUCCAUGGGUGUGGUCAUCUGAUAAGUCUCCCACCAAGCAGGUGAGCAGCAAACCUCACCUUGUCAGCUUCAGUGCAGCCAACUGUCACUAGGCAUUUGCUCACAGAACGGAGCCAAUCAUCAGCUACAAUCGGUUCCGGGGAGCUGGUGAAUGUUGGUGGACGCAGCCUCAGAAACCUGGUUAACAUGUCCACGUGAGGUGGUGGGUUGGGGUUCUGGUUGUUGUGGUUGUUGUUGUUGUUGUUGUUGUUCAUCUGCUGGGUCAAGGCUUGCAAAAUCUGAGUCUGUGCAGCCAGCAGUUGCUGCAUGGUGGCGGCGUUGUUGUCCUGACCCUCCUCAUUGUUGUUGUCAGUAGGGCGGCGAGUAUCGCGUCUCGGCGGCAUCUGUUUCGGGACAGCAUAGAUGAGAAAAUAGAUAGACAGGAUCUAAGAGGAAACUAAGCCACACAACACAGGCAAUACAACAGUUCAAACAACAAGCAUAACAAUUCAAUUAUGAAACAAGUCAUCAAAAAAAAACAAGCAAUAGCACUCACUAGGAUUUUAACAUCCAAAACGAAUAGUUCACCCGGCGUACCAGCCUAAACACAAGUAUAGAGUUGCAAAUAAACACACGAAUCUACAUUGCCAUACCAAAACGACGGCAUGGUCAAUGACUAACACGAUAACGAAUAUAGUAUAAUAAAUAGUCCAGCGGCUCUAAACUGAAACUAAGGAAGUGAGAGGAAGUUGGUGUUCCCGGAGUUCUUCGCCCUGGAACGGGUGCGGGUGGCAGGUGUGUCCAUCUCCUGCGCCUCCUGAGGUUCCUCCUCCUGUGGCUCCAUGUCCUCGUCCUGAGGGGGUGGUGGAGCUUGUGCUGGUGCCGGUGCAGGGUUGGCGUUGUUGACCUGGGUUUGGAGCUGAUCAUACUGAAGUUGCAGAAGAUCCUUCUCGUACAUAAUCUGCUCCAUGAUCGCGUGCAUGUUCAGGAUAACAUCUCCCCUGCGGUUCACCUCGUUUGUCUUCGUCGUCAGUUGACCUUGGAGUAUCCCCACCUGGUCUUCAGCUAUAUCUGCACGGGUCAUCUCGUUGUAGAGACUCUUUCCUAUGUCCACCAUGUUCUGCUCCAGAGCUUGAAACUGAACAUCCUCCAUGUGUGGAUCCUCGCCUAGGAUCUCCGGUCCCACGGCAUUCCCGCCAACAACUCGCCUUCCGAAGCUACGAAAGACAGAGUCCGGAGGCAGUUCAUCAUGGUACGCCUCGCACACACGAGCUAUCGCAUGUUGCAUGGCGAACUGGAGUCCCAGCAUGAAGUCGGGGUAGCGCACGGAGUAGGUGAUGUCGGGCGUCAAUGGAACAACAGUCCGUCCCUUGAUCUCCGUGUCGAUCUCCCAGCGGCGUGCACCUCCCUGAGAUCCCACCGGCUCAGCACGUCCUCGGAAACAAGGUGCUGCCAGGUGUAGUGUCGUGCACAAAGUAGCAAGCUGCCUCCCAAACGGGAUGUCAUCGUCAACUGCCGGGUAAUGGACGUGUGUGAAAGGUGGCUCAUCUCCGAAAUUUGGCGGUCCAUUCAUCUACAAGAUUGAUGGUGGGGGAAAAGAAUUAGUCACAUGAUCAAGUAGGUGGAUGCAUAAAUGUAAUAAUGACAAUAUAAGGUGUAGGUUAUGCAAACAUGACGUAUGAUUGUAAUAGUGGAAAGCAUGAUAUUGUAGUAUGAGGUGUAAAUAAAUGCAUACAAAAUCUUUAGAUGCAAAUGGAUGAAAUAAAAUACAAGUAGUACAUAUGCAUUGGACCUUGGUAUGAUUGCAAGUGUAUAUGAUUAUGCAUGUAUCUCAAUAUGCAAAUUUAGAGUGGUAUGAAAUGCAUAGAACAAUCCUAUGGUCUCUUUUAGUCUAAUCCAUGCUAGGGUCACGUUCCUACAGGCAACACAAUGCUCUGAUACCAUCUGAAGCGACCGCCCCCGUAAAAGGGUUCGAUCUCUGUGCUUUAGUGCUAGUCCCUGGAUCGACUCACUAGCACACACAGUUUCAAGAUGUAAUAUCAUAGAACAAAGGUCUCAAUAUUACAACGUAUCAUCCAGAAUAUAAAAGGGUACUUACAAUUCGCAUAACCUCAUGGGUUAGCUAGAAAUAAAACAAUUGUUUAGCAGCGGAAAACGGAAGAUACAAGGGCACAUCAACACCACGGUGAGAGCGUGUUGGAAUGUAGGCCCGUAACCCAAAUAUGCAGAACGUACGUCUUACUCGUCGUCGGAGCUUCCUGCAUCAUUAGACGAUGCAGCCACUAGGGUCAAUACAUUGAAUGUAUUGGCAAGAUUCACUAGGAGUUAUACCAGAGCCUACCAAAUAUAUGCAUAGUGUGGUAAAGUGGGGUUCAAGCUAUUUGCAUAAAAGCUUAGUUAUUGAAUCCUAUCUUUUAAUCAAAUAGAAUUUUAUCACUAUUGGACACGGGGUAGACACACCCAUGCUCCUAUUAUCCUAGAGCACAUUGAUGUGGAUUCAUCAAGUGCCCCUACCCUGUUCAACCAUUCAUUUUAUUUAAGAAGUUAGAAUGAGUGAGACUUUUCUUACAGCUCCACAUCUAGUCGCUCAAAUUGUCCGUUGCCGGGGACACGGCUAAGUACUUAGUUUUGACGCUCUCGAGAGUUUGUACACAUUCCCCACAAGAAACCGACGUGUUAAUCCCUUGCUGUCCUCUGGGUAGAGUAGCAACGGCAUCGAUUACGAGAUUUUCAGAGGUAAUUCCCUAAACCACGAGAGAAUCACGCUGCCCCUACACAGCUACCUCAGUACAAUUCCUCGGGUCUAGGUUCAUACAACUUACUCUUGUCUCGCCAGAGCCCAUAUAGCAUUGUGGUUGUACUAGAAGCUUCUAAAUAGGAAACUAGUCCAGUCUCGGUUACCCCAGGUGGCAUUCCACAUUUGCAACGUAGGCGCUCCCCGAAUCCACGGGAGAGACGUCCAUGGACGAUCCAUUCCUGAAUCCACAGGAACUCGACUCAGAGGGACCCAUAGAAAUGGACCUGACGCCGCUAAUCCUCAAAAUCUUCAAAGCUGCCCACCCAGGACGGUUCAUUUAAUUAAUUGUUUUGCCUUACAUCUAAUAAAAUCAUUUCAUAUCGCCAAAGGCAUAACAAUAAAUAAUGUAGUUAUUUCCCCCACGAUACUACCAUAGCCUAGCAUUUAACUACAAUCGAUGGCAAUAUGGUAGCAAGGUAAUGGCGAGGGUAAACUAGACUACCUGGGAUUUAUAGCUAGCAUAGAAGUACGAGUAAUAUUCCUGAUGCAUCUAAUGAAACAUCUAGUGCAUAGUAAAAAUAUUUAGGAGAAUGAUCAAAGUGAACUUGCCUUGCCCAAGGUUGUGGUAGUUCUCGCACUCUUCGCAACAACAAUGAUUACACUCCACACAAUCUAAAAUAAAAGGAACACACACAAUAAACACAACAUUCAAUACAAAGACCAUGCCAUGAUGCACAUGCUAUGCUGAUGCACACAAAGGUUACUUCUAACGUACAAAGUUUUGUUUCUGUUUUAAAAAGGCUCUCAAAAGAUUUGGACAGGUUAUACAACAUCAAAGUGGUAAUUAAUAUGCAAGAAACAUGGAUAGGCUUUUGUAACAUAGAGCAAUAUUUAACUUGCAUGCCAUGAUUAUACACAAAAUAAUUUCUUCUCUGGUCCUAAUGGAUAGAGAACAACUUUAAAUAAUUUUACAGCAAGAUAACAUGCUCAAAACUAUUUUGAAACAAUUCAUUUGAAAUUUGAACCAUAUUCAACCCUUCUGUAAAUAGCUACUGUCUAAGUUGUUCAAAACUGAAAAUAAACCGUGCCAAAAUAUUCUACACAUUACGACGAUUCCAGAAAGGUGCGGAACACAAAUUUUGGACAAACGGUUUGAAAGAUAUAAAGGUUUGAAGUUGUAGGGUCUUUUCUGCAAAAGUGCAUUAUCCACUUCGGCCGAAAAUAAAAUAAAAUAAAAUAAAUAAAUAAAAACCCUGCCACGUGGCAGCGCGGGACUGGCCGGUUUCUAGGGUUCCGGCCGGCGGCUAGCUCGCCGGCGGCGGCGCGGGGCGGCGCGGGCAGGGGCAGCGCGGGCAAGCAGCAGGGGCGGCGCGCGCACGGCGGCGGCGGGCGGCGCAGGGCCGCGGGUCGCGCGGGCUGCGCGGAGGCGGCGCGCGGGAGGAGCGGGGUGGCGCAGGCGGCUGCGCGGGCACGGACAGCGCGCGGAGGGCGGCGGGCGGCGCGGCGCACGGGCGCGGGCAGGGGUGCGGCCAGGCGGCGCGCGGACGGCGGCCAGCGCUGAGGAAGAUGACCGGCGCGGCGGCCGGAGGCGGCGGCGGCGGCCAAACGCCAAGGCGAGCGCGUCACGACGUUCGGGACGGGGAGAGGAGAGAGGCUAGGGGAGUGGCGCGGGAAGAACCUCACCGGAACGGCGGAGAAACGCGAAGAAUGGCGGUGGCAGCAACAAACUCCGGCGAGCAAUUACUUUCUAACCGGUGCGAAAUUGAACGUGGGGUUUGGGGGAAGUGGAGGAGAAAAGCGAGGCCUUCGGGGUGACGCGCAAGGAUUUGGAGAAAACGGCCUGAGCGCGGAGAAAUCGGAGGUGGAGUCAUGGGCAGUUCGCGGGCGUGCGUGGCCGGAUUUUUCGGACGGAGGUUGAAGAUGACGCGUGGGUCCCACCGGUCAGUGAGAGCGGGUGGCUCGGGCGGGCUGAGCCGGUCCGGUUCGGUUUUCCUCGGUUUUUCCUUUUCUUUUAUCUAUUUUCUGUUUUCGAACCUCAAAAUUGAUUCGGAGCUCCAAAUCACUCCAAAUAAAAUGCAACAAAAUUUGUAAAAUCAUAUUUUCAUAUGAUCUAACUUUUGGAGCAAGAAUUUUCUCAAAAUAAAAUAUUUAAAAAUAUAUUUGCAUAUAAAAUGGCUUUUAUGGCCCUUAGGCUAUCGAAUCAAAUUAUUUUUUUCAAAAUACUUUCAAAAGCCAAUUAUGGGAUAGCUUUAUAUAUGCAUUAAAUCCCUUUUUAUCACAAUACCCUCAUGGGUUAAAAAUGCAAAUAGUCAAGAGCAAGAUCAAAGCCCAAAAACAAAUAAAAGCAUUUUUGCAAAAGGGUUUUCUGGGAAAACUUUAGUGUUUUGAAAGUGUUCAGAUGCAAGGGUGACAUGAUGCUUAUGAUAUGCAAUGCAUAUGAAGAAUUUUGAAAAUUGGGAUGUUACAGUAAUAGGGUCCAGCCAAUUUUUAGAUGUUUUCGUUGUGUUUUAGGAGGAUUCCUAGGCCGUUUCGGAGUCCCUCAAGGGCCUGUCCGAAAACCACCUAGUUCCCCUCCUAUUUAUACCCCAUGAGCCCCCCCAUGGAGCCUGGGGUUUUGAUUAGAUAAAGUUUAGCCUUUGGUACUUUCGUGUAAUCGCGUGUGUCGGUUAGACCACCUGUUUUACCGUCAUCAAGACUCCAACUAUAUUGAAUAUUCAGAUUCGUGAACCUUCAUAUCUCCUAUUCGCAAUUUCAGAUUGCUUUUCAUCUUGUUCUUGAUUGUUCUUCGAUUGCUUGCAGGAACAAAGACCUUCGUGGUCAGGUUGAUCGUGCCCCCGCGGGAUCAAUAACCUUCUGGAGUUGGUGUAUCGAUCGCUAAGGCGCUGCCUCCUAGGUUGUAGUCGGAUCGUCAACGUCACCUCCUACCAAAUCGAUAAUUAGGUAUCUCAUCGAAAGAUCGGAACACACUCGAGGCUAUCACGUGGUAUCAGAGCUUAAGGUUGCUCGGUGAGAUUUUUCCAGUUUAUCCGUAGUUUAGAUCUGUUUUUACCUAUCGUCCAGAAAAAAACCAAACAAAAAUUAGAAUUAGUUACCUUGUCCUAGAACCAAUCUGAGCCUUGCAAUUUUCACAUUAGUAUUUGCAUUGUUGAAUCUUUGCUGCAUUAAUCGUGUCGAGUUGCUGGAUUAGAUUGGAUCGUUUUUCAGAUUUUUUCUACUAGAUCAAACUUGUUUUUGUCUUUUGAUUUCGUGUGACGCAGGCUUUCCAUCAAACUUCCGCCCCCAAACUUCCUGCCACGCCACCGCCAUAAUCUUCCGCCGCCACCAUAUCUUCCACCGAGUCCCUCUUCGAGUCCUGCACCGAGUAUUUCUUCGAGUCCUGCACCGAGUAUUUCUUCGAGUCCUGCACCGAGUAUUUCUUCGAGUCCUGCACCGAGUAUUUCUUCGAGUCCUACACCAAGUCCCUCGUCGAGUCCUACAUCGAGUCGGCAAGUUAUAGUUUUCAGCCGCGAGUUCGAGUCCGAGUCUAAUCAAGAGUGCUUUUGGAAAGUGUUUCAUAAUAGAUCGAAUUUUGUUUAGAGGUCAAGUUGUUCGGGAAGUUGUGAAAAAAAAAGAAAGGAAAAAAAAGGAAAGAAAGAAAAAAAAAAGCAAAAACAAAAGAGGAAGAGUUCGAGUCAGUUUCGGACCCGAGUCCAAGUAGAAUUAGAUUUUCGGGUGGGUUUGACCCGUGUUCACUAAAACGGCCGUAUCUUUUGCAUACGAAGUCAGAUUUGGACGUGCCAAGACUUUUCGGAAAGCUCUCGACGAGGCGGCGCAUCCUCUAAAAUUAACGGCUCCUUGACCCUCAAAUUCGGCCUCUAAGGUGGACUUUUCGUGCUACGAAGUUUCUGCACCCGUUUUUCGGCACCGGGGCAGUGCAGUAUAUCUCAGUUUUCUCCACCGUCCGACCUCUGUUUCGAGUGAUCUUGCACUUGUUGGAAAGCUUGUUUUGAUACGCUUCUGACCCAUAUUUUCUCAUAUUUUUCUGAGUUUUCCUUACUACAGCCUUUGCUAUUCUCCUACAGACCGACGUGCAGCUUUCCGGUCUUAACUUCUUUUGCGUGAGUUUCUGGGUUUAAAAAAAAAGAAAAAAAAAUAGAAAAGAAUAAGAAGCCAAACAGAAGGCCACAAAAAAGAAAAAAAAAGAGAAAAAGUAUUCCCCAGAGAUUUACUUGUUUUACCUUUCAUUUGAUCUUUCCUUUCUACCUUUUUCAGUAUCUAGGCUUAGUUAAUUUCUGUAAUUCGUUCUUCUCGACUCCAGCAGCUAGGACUCGCAUUUUUUAGCAUAUUUUCAACUUUGCAUUGCUGAUUUGAUUAUUCGCUUUUCCUUGCUACUCACAUAAGCCUCCAAGCUCCACAGAUUCUACACCUAGCUUGGUUUGCCUCGAGGCAUCGAUACAGUAAUCUUCGGAGGGCUUGUUCUCGCCGCUGGCCAUCACCUUUCUGGUUGCUGGGUAAGAACGAGUAAGAACUUGAUUAAAAGUUGAGUGGAGUGAUCUUUGGAACCCCACAUCCUAGUAGUGCAUAGGGACUUUUCCUUGUGAUUUUUUUUCUUGUUUUCUCCUAACGAUGGCAGGUUCUGACGAUGAUUUACAAGGCCACUAUCCACGCACAAAGGGCAUUAUUUCACAUUUUGAUCGCAAGCUUAGGCUUCGUAACGAGGAGCUGGAUGAGGACGUUCGGGUUGCGAAUGAGAGACUUGGAACCUUGGAGAGAGCGCACAUUGAAACAAAUACCAAGCUAACAUCUUUACAGAAUUCUGUUGCUACCAUUAGUACUUCUCUGGCAGAAAUCACGACGCAACUGGCGGCACUUGCUGCAACGACCAUCGCUACACCGGGAGGGAACAAUACACACAACCAGCGGACCGCUAAUAACGGUACCUUCGCAAGCGAGGUUGAGGAGAACGACGACGACUACUCCGCGGAUACGGAACACGACGGGGCCGUAAACCAUCACAACGACCGUGAUCAUCGCCAAACUCGUUUCAACCGCCGAGGUAUGGGACCGACACGAUUUCAAAGAGAGGAACAUGACUCGCUGCAUUCUAUUAAACUUAAGGUUCCUCCUUUUGAUGGAAAAUAUGACCCUGAUGCUUACCUUACAUGGGAAUUAGAAUUGAGUCAAAAAUUUACUUGCCAUGAUUUUCCUGCUAAUAAGAGGGUUAGGGCUGCUACUAGUGAGUUUACUGAUUUUGCUUUUGUUUGGUGGCAUGAGUAUUGUAUUGCACAUCCUAACGCUAUACCACCAACAUGGGAUGAUUUGAAAAGAAUUAUGCGCGCUAGAUAUGUUCCUUCAUACUAUUCGCGUGACUUGUUAAAGAAACUACAACAAUUAAGGCAAGGUAGUAAUUCUGUCCAAGAUUAUUAUCAAGAAAUGCAAAAGAACAUGUUACGUUGUGGUUUAGUUGAGAAUGAGGAAGCUGCUAUGGCUAGAUUCUUUGGUGGUUUAAAUCGUGAAAUUGCUGACAUUGUUGAUUAUAAGGAGUAUAAUUCUAUCAAUCGAUUGUUUCACAUUGCUUGCAAAGCUGAAAGGCAAGUGCAGGGACGACACGCGAACGCGCGGACUAACUUUUCUGCAGGUCGUACUUCCUCAUGGGCAGAACGCAGCCCCGCUGCCCCUUCCACACGCCCAGCUGCACCCCCUACACGUCCGGCUGUUUCGACUACUUCCACCAACAAGCAAAGUACCUCUACACCUACGUCCACAAAGGUUGGACCAGCAGCAACAAGAAAUACACCCGCUGCCUCUGCACAAAGUUCAGCAGCGUCCGUUGCUUCCACCGGAUGGACCGGAGAUAACCAAUGUCGUAGGUGCAAAGGAUACGGGCAUUUUCAGCGGGACUGUCCAACCAAACGCGUUAUGAUCAUACGUGAAGACGGAGUAUAUGAUUCAGCCAGUGAUUUUGACGAAGCUACCUAUGUUCUCUAAAGUUGAUUUACGUAGUGGUUACCACCAAAUUCGAAUGAAAUUAGGCGAUGAAUGGAAAACAGCAUUUAAAACUAAGUUUGGACUAUAUGAGUGGUUAGUCAUGCCUUUCGGUCUUACUAACGCACCUAGCACUUUCAUGCGGUUAAUGAACGAAGUUUUACGUGCUUUCAUAGGACGAUUUGUGGUGGUUUAUUUUGAUGAUAUAUUGAUUUACAGCAGCUCUUUAGAAGACCACUUGAAUCAUUUACGUGCUGUUUUUGAUGCUUUGAGAGAUGCACGUUUGUUUGGUAACCUUGAGAAGCGCACCUUUUGCACCGAUCGAGUUUCGUUUCUUGGCUAUGUUGUCACUCCACAGGGCAUAGAAGUUGAUAAGGCCAAGAUCGACGCUAUUCAAAGCUGGCCAACUCCAACGGUCACCUAAGUGAGGAGCUUUCUUGGACUCGCUGGGUUUUAUCGCCGCUUUGUAAAGGAUUUCAGCACCCUUGCUGCACCGCUUAAUGAGCUCACAAAGAAGGACGUUCCAUAUGUAUGGGGCGCUGCACAAGAAGAAGCUUUUCUCAUAUUGAAAGAUAAGUUGACACAUGCUCCUUUACUCCAACUUCCUGAUUUUAAUAAGACUUUUGAGUGGGCCUAGUCUGAAUGAUAAGGAAUUAUAUGCUCUCGUUCGAACUUUAGAAACAUGGCAACAUUAUUUAUGGCCCAAAGAAUUUGUUAUACAUUAUGAUCAUCAAUCUUUGAAGCAUAUUCGUAGUCAAGCAAAGCUGAACCGUCGUCAUGCUAAAUGGGUUGAAUUUAUUGAGUCUUUUCCGUAUGUUAUUAAACAUAAGAAGGGUAAAGAUAAUGUUAUUGCUGAUGCGUUAUCACGUCGUUAUACCUUGUUAUCUCAGCUUGAUUUUCGGAUCUUUGGAUUGGAGACUAUAAAAGAACAAUAAGAACAUGAUGCAGAUUUUAAGGAUGUUUUGCAGCAUUGUAAAGAGGGCAGAACAUGGAACAAGUUCGUCAUUAAUGAUGGAUUUGUGUUCCGUCCUAACAAGCUAUGCAUCCCAGAUAGCUCGAUGAGUAUCUUUGUUUGGUGUGCUCGUUGUAGUACCCGAAAUGGACCUAAGUCAGAGUAGAAGUUUAGCACCGACUCCGAUCUGGCCGAAUUGUCCGUCCUAGUGAGGGACCAUGCCUAGCGAGUCCGUACAAGUGGUCCUGUCUUGUUUCGCUUCGAUGAGUAGAUUUGUUUGGUUUGCUCGUCCUAGUACCUCAUGCGGGCAAGUUCCGGAUCAAAGUUUAGCACCGAGUCCGAUUUGGCCGAAUUGUCCGCCCUAGUGAGGGACCAUGCCUAUCUAGUCCGUACAAGUGGUCUAAUCUUGUUUUGCUUCGAUGAGUAGCUUUGUUUGGUGUGCUCAUCUUAUAACGCCAAACCGAACCGUUCCGGAUCAAAGUUUAGCACCGACUCCGAAUUGCCGAAUUGUCCGCCCUAAUGCGGGACCAUGCCUAGCGAGUCCGUGCAAGUGGUCUAGUCUUCUUUCGCUUCGAUGAGUAUCUUUGUUUCGUGUGCUCAUUCUAGUUCCUGAAAUGGGCCUAAGUCAGAGUAGAAGUUUAGCACCGACUCCGAUCUGGCCGAAUCUUCCAUCGUAGUGAGGGACCAUGCCUAGCGAGUCCGUACAAGUGGUCUAGUCUUGUUUCGCUUCGAUGAGUAUCUUUCUUCGGUUUGCUCACCCAAGUACCUCAAACGGGCAUGUUCCGGAUCAAAGUUUAGCACUGACUACGAUUUGGCCGAAUUAUCCGUCCUUGUGAGGGACCAUGCCUAGCGAGUCCGUAAAAGUGGUCUAGUCUUAUUUCGCUUCGAUGAGUAGCUUUGCUUGGUGUGCUCAUCCUAGUACCCUAAAUGGACCCGUCUCCGAUUAGAAGUUUAGCACCGACUCCGAUCUGGCUGAAUUGUCCGUCCUAGUGAGGGAGCAUGCCUAGCGAGUCUGAUAGGGGUGCGGGUGGCCCGAUCUUUCGAUGAGAUUGAUAACUCGCGAUUUGUGUAAGAGGUGACGUUGACGAUCCGACUACGGCCUAAGAGGCAGCGCCUUAGCAAUCGAUACAAGAUAUGGGUCCGGGUGGCCCGAUCUUUCGAUGAGAUUGGUAACUCUCGAUUUGGGUAGGAGGUGACGUUGACGAUCCGACUACGGCCUAGGAGGCAGCGCCUUAGCAAUCGAUACACCAACUCCAGAGGGUUAUUGAUCACGCGGGGGCACGAUCAACCUGACCACGAAGGUCUUUGUUCCUGCAAGCAAUCGAAGAACAAGCAAGAACAAGAUAAAUAGCGGAUGCAAUCUAAAAUUGCGAAUAUACUAUAUCAAACAAAUGUCUCAACGAGACGAUAAGUUGGAGUCUUGACGACGGUAAAACAUGUGAUCUAACCGACACACGCGAUUACACGAAAGUAGCAAAGAUGGCUAAAGUUUAUCUAAUCAAAACCCAAGGCUCCUUAGGGGGCUCAUGGGGUAUAUAAAGGAGGAGGGAGAGAUAUUUUCGUCCACCUUGAGUAAGGAGGCCGAAAUCCAACUCUAUCUCUAAGUUUCGUAACAAACUACAACUCUUUAGGAAACAGAAAAACAGAUCCGUCAGCUUGUUUUGUCCGUCACGGUCAGCACGAGUCGAAUCUUUUGAUGGGGCCAGAUCCGUUGGAAAGGUCUUGUAAUUACCUUUCCAACAAGUACUUGUUUGCUUGAUUUGGACUCCGGAUGCGGCCUGGGUGAUUAAAACAAAUUCGGGUCUCCUGGCAGCUCGGACCCGAAUCGGAUUCAACUUUUAUUCGUGAUAUCUUUCUCUAGCAAGUUCCGAAUCAUGUGCCGUUUGAUUUGUUGGAACGGACACUUGAAGUCCUUCCCUCUCAGCUGUAUGAAUGCUUGAUUCUUGUUGGGCCUCCCGUUCGCCUCCAUCGUAUCUCAUCUUGACCUUGAACUUGAAAGGCUCGACAAGAUGCCUACGUAAUAAAACGAGACAAGAUAGUAGUAGCUCCGCCUCUUCAUAAAUAUGAAAAUGAAAACAAUUACUACCUGAAUUCACCUGAUUAUAAAUCUUGUCAAAUAUUAUAAAAUUGAGGGUACCAAAGGUCGUAUCCAUGGUUAGCAUGUCCAUAUCAAUACACCAACUCCAGAGGGUUAUUGAUCACGCGGGGGCACGAUCAACCUGACCACGAAGGUCUUUGUUCCUGCAAGCAAUCGAAGAACAAGUAAGAACAAGAUAAAUAGCGGAUGCAAUCUGAAAUUGCGAAUAUACUAUAUCAAACCAAUGUCUGAACGAGACGAUAAGUUGGAGUCUUGACGACGGUAAAACAGGUGGUGUAACCGACACACGCGAUUACACGAAAGUAGCAAAGAUGGCUAAACUUUAUCUAAUCAAAACCCAAGGCUCCAUAGGGGGGCUCAUGGGGUAUAAAUAGGAGGAGGGAGAGAUAUUUUCAUCCACCUUCAGUAAGGAGGCCGAAAUCCAACUCUAUCUCUAACUUCCCUAACAAACUACAACUCUUUAGGAAACAGAAAAACAGAUCCGUCAGCUUGUUUUGUCCGCCACGGUCAGCACGAGUCGAAUCUAUUGAUGGGGCCAGAUCCGUUGGAAAGGUCUUGUAAUCACCUUUCCAACAAGUACUUGUUUGCUUGAUUUGAACUCCAGAUGCGACCUGAGUGAUUAAAACAAAUUCGGGUCUCCUGGCAGCUCGGACCCGAAUCGGAUUCAACUUUAAUUCGUGAUAUCUUUCUCUAGCAAGCUCCGAAUCAUGUGCCGUUUGAUUUGUUGGAACGUACACUUGAAGUCCUUCCCUCUCAGCUGUAUGAAUGCUUGAUUCUUGUUGGGCCUCCCGUUCGCCUCCAUCGUAUCUCAUCUUGACCUUGGACUUGAAAGGCUCGACAAGAUGCCUACGUAAUAAAACGAGACAAGAUAGUAGUAGCUCCGCCUCUUCAUAAAUAUGAAAAUGAAAACAAUUAUUACCUGAAUUCACCUGAUUAUAAAUCUUGUCAAAUAUUAUAAAAUUGAGGGUACCAAAGGUCGUAUCCAUGGUUAGCAUGUCCAUAUCAAUACACCAACUCCAGAGGGUUAUUGAUCACGCGGGGGCACGAUCAACCUGACCACGAAGGUCUUUGUUCCUGCAAGCAAUCGAAGAACAAGUAAGAACAAGAUAAAUAGCGGAUGCAAUCUGAAAUUGCGAAUAUACUAUAUCAAACCAAUGUCUGAACGAGACGAUAAGUUGGAGUCUUGACGACGGUAAAACAGGUGGUGUAACCGACACACGCGAUUACACGAAAGUAGCAAAGAUGGCUAAACUUUAUCUAAUCAAAACCCAAGGCUCCAUAGGGGGGCUCAUGGGGUAUAAAUAGGAGGAGGGAGAGAUAUUUUCAUCCACCUUGAGUAAGGAGGCCGAAAUCCAACUCUAUCUCUAACUUCCCUAACAAACUACAACUCUUUAGGAAACAGAAAAACAGAUCCGUCAGCUUGUUUUGUCCGCCACGGUCAGCACGAGUCGAAUCUAUUGAUGGGGCCAGAUCCGUUGGAAAGGUCUUGUAAUGACCUUUCCAACAAGUACUUGUUUGCUUGAUUUGGACUCCGGAUGCGGCCUGGGUGAUUAAAACAAAUUCGGGUCUCCUGACAGCUCGGACCCGAAUCGGAUUCAACUUUAAUUCGUGAUAUCUUUCUCUAGCAAACUCCGAAUCAUAUGCCGUUUGAUUUGUUGGAAAGUACACUUGAAAUCCUUCCCUCUCAGCUGUAUGAAUGCUUGAUUCUUGUUGGCCCUCCCAUUCGCCUCCAUCGUAUCUCAUCUUGACCUUGGACUUGAAAGGCUCGACAAGAUGCCUACGUAAUAAAACGAGACAAGAUAGUAGUAGCUCCGCCUCUUCAUAAAUAUGACAAUCAAAAAAAUUACUACUUGAAUUCACCUGAUUAUAAAUCUUGUCAAAUAUUAUAGAAUUGAGGGUACCAAAGGUCGUAUCCAUGGUUAGCAUGUCCAUAUCAUCCUCCCUUUCUUGAAAGGAAAGCCGUCCUCGGCGUCGUUUGUGCUGUAAAGAGACUGACAAAAUAGACAAAGUGUGUGCAUGGUAUAUGUAUAUGUCAUCCAUCUUUAUACAUCUCCUUUCUUGCACAAUUAAUCUUUUAUAACAAAGUCUCAUGAGAUAAUUAGUAAAACAAUCAUGAUGAAUAACAUUCCAGCAAGAAGAUUGACAAUAUUGUUUGCAUUUAUAAGCGAAACGAUUUCUUGUAUUUUGUUUGCACCGCUCACCAUUACACCAUCCCAACAUUGCAGAAUGAUAAUGAAUAGUAUCCAAAUUAGUUACUACAAUAUGCUGAAAUUUAGAGCAAGCCAAAGCACUAAUAUUCAAACAAGCAUGUAAAUAACUAUUUGGCAAAUAAUCAACACCUAUAUUGGAGGCCCUAUCAGAAUGAUUAAGCAUGUGCAAAAAUUUCUUUUCUCCCAAGAGAGGAAAAUUAUCACAAGUAAUGCACAUCUUAUGCACCAAAAUGUUAUUGUUCACAUCAUGUUGUCCAUAUAAAUGAAUUGUGUAUCCAUGAACAGCAAAAGAUUUCGAAAUUGUUAACUCACACAGUUUAUCCAUUGCAUGCGACAAAUACAUGGGACUAUCAAGUGCAAUAUAACACAAAGAAUUAAUAUAUGGAUCGUUCUCAAUCACUCCAUGUGUAAUUAAGCCGACACAACCUAAACCAAAUUUAUCUACAUCAGAUGUUUCUCCCAAAACAUUAGUUAUUUCCUCACAUGAUUCAUUCUCAUCAAUAUCAAAAUUAAUUUCAGCAGUAGGUGCACUCAAAUCAGCAUGUAAAUCAACAAUUUCACAUGGUGCAGAAAAUUCAACGGGUAUCUCAUUUAUUUCAUCACAUGUCAUAUUUUGUUCAGCAACACAAUCAUCUUUAUCAUUACCUUGUAGGCUCAACACGUUUCUUGUACACCUUCUCUCCAAUUUCCUCUCCGCUUCACGAGCAAGAUUAAGCAAACACAAUAGAGAGUCGUAUUUUCCGUAUUCAAUUAUGUAAGAAAUAUCAAAGUUAAUCCCACAAUAAAACCUAUCCAUUUUUUUUGUUCGGUUUCAUCUAAACCAGAUCGCAAGGUUAAAAUUUGGAACUCAUGGUAGUAAUCAUCAACAGUUUUAUCAUCUUGCGUCAAACGUCGUAAUUUGGAACGCAACUCAUAAGCAUAACUUGGAGGAACAUAUUUUUCUCUCAUGAUUUUCUUCAUAUCAAUCCAAGUGUGAGGUCUUUUGUUUUCUCUAACUAUCUCACACCACCAUGAUAAUGCAUCAAAACGAAAUUUACUACUAGCAAUUUGGACCUUACGACUAUCUAGUACAUGGAAGCAUGUGAAUUGUUCAGUUAAAGCUAGCUCCCAAUCUAUAUAUGUUUCAGCAUCAUUUUCCCCCUCAAAGAAAGGUACACACAAUUUAAUUGUAUUAGAAGGAUUGUUUUGUACCGUUGCCGUGGCAUUAUCAACAAGAGACGUGAAGGAUGGCCGUGGUGACAAGCACUCAUCGCGGUCACGGGAUAGCAUCGGGCUAGUUGCCAUGCUUCGUGUAAGUCCUGUCAUGGUUAGUAGAAAACAAGAAAUAAAUCACAGUAAUAUGUUCCUAUCAACUACUAGGAUGUGGCUACAAGUCGCUCAACUCUCAAGCUAAAAAUCAAGUUCUUACAAGUUCUUACCAUGCAAAACAGGAAGGUGAUGGCUUUGUCCGUCACCUUUCCUAACAAACUAUCUCUAACUUUCCUAACAAACUACAACUCUUUAGGAAACAGAAAAACAGAUCUGUCAGCUUGUUUUGUCCGUCACGGUCAGCACGAGUCGAAUAUCUUGAUGGGGCCAGAUCCCUUGGAAAGGUCUUGUAAUUACCUCUCCAACAAGUACUUGUUUGCUUGAUUGGACUCCGGAUGCGGCCUGGGUGAUUAAAACACAUUCGGGUCUCCUGGCAGCUCGGACCAGAAUCGGAUUCAACUUUAAUUCGUGAUAUCUUUCUCUAGCAAUCUCCGAAUCAUGUGCCGUUUGAUUUGUUGGAAAGUACACUUGAAAUCCUUCCCUCUCAGCUGUAUGAAUGCUUGAUUCUUGUUGUGCCUCCCGUUCGCCUCCAUCGUAUCUCAUCUUGACCUUGGACUUGAAAGGCUCGACAAGAUGCCUACGUAAUAAAACGAGACAAGAUAGUAGUAGCUCCGCCUCUUCAUAAAUAUGACAAUGAAAACAAUUACUACUUGAAUUCACCUGAUUAUAAAUCUUGUCAAAUAUUAUAGAAUUGAGGGUACCAAAGGUCGUAUCCAUGGUUAGCAUGUCCAUAUCAGAGUCCGUACAAGUGGUAUAGUCUUGUUUCGCUUCGAUGAGUAGAUUUGUUUGGUUUGCUCAUCCUAGUACCUCAAACGGGCCCGUUCCGGAUCAAAGUUUAGCAGGGACUACGAUGUGGCCGAAUUGUCCGCCCUAGUGAGGGACCAUGCCUAGCUAGUCCGUACAAUGCUCCAAUCUUGUUUCGCUUCGAUGAGUAGCUUUGCUUGGUGUGCUCAUCGUAGUACUCGAAAUGGCCCCGACUCCGAUUAGAAGUUUAGCACCGACUCCGAUCUGGCCGAAUUGUCCGUCCUAGUGAGGGACCAUGCCUAGCGAGUCCGUACAACUGGUUUAGCCUUGUUUCGCUUUGAUGAGUAGAUUUGUUUGGUUUACUCACCCUAGUACCUCAAACGGGCCGUUCCGGUUCAAAGUUUAGCACCGACUCCGAUUUACCGAAUUGUCCGCCCUAGUGAGGGACCAUUCCUAGUCAGUCUGUACAAGUGGUCUAGUCUUCUUUCGCUUCGAUGAGUAUCUUUGUUUGGUGUGCUCGUUGUAGUACCCGAAAUGGACCUAAGUCAGAGUAGAAGUUUAGCACCGACUCCGAUCUAGCCGAAUUGUCCGUCCUAGUGAGGGACCAUGCCUAGCGAGUCCGUACAAGUGGUCUAGUCUUGUUUCGCUUCGAUGACUAGAUUUGUUUGGUUUGCUCAUCCUAGUACCUCAAACGGGCCGUUCCGGAUCAAAGUUUAGCACGGACUCCGAUUUGGCCGAAUUGUCCGCCCUAGUGAGGGACCAUGCCUAUCUAGUCCGUACAAAAUCUUGUUUUGCUCCGAUGAGUAGCGUUGUUUGGUGUGCUCACCUUAUAACGCCAAACCGAACCGUUCCGGAUCAAAGUUUAGCACCGACUCCGAUUUGCCGAAUUGUCCGCCCUAAUGCGAGACCAUGCCUAGCGAGUCCGUGCAAGUGGUCUAGUCUUCUUUCGCUUCGAUGAGUAUCUUUGUUUCGUGUGCUCAUUCUAGUACCCGAAAUGGGCCUAAGUCAGAGUGGAAGUUUAGCACCGAAUCCGAUCUGGCCGAAUUGUCCGUCCUAGUGAGGGACCAUGCCUAGCGAGUCCGUACAAGUGGUCUAGUCUUGUUUCACGUCGAUGAGUGUCUUUCUUUGGUUUGCUCACCCUAGUACCUCAAACGGACCUGUUCCCGAUCAAAGUUUAGCACCGACUCCGAUUUGCCGAAUUGUCCGCCCUAGUGAGGGACCAUGCCUAGCUAGUGUGUACAAGUUGUCUAGUCUUGUUUCGCUUCGAUGAGUAGAUUUGUUUGGUUUGCUCAUCCUAGUACCUCAUACGGGCAAGUUCCGCACCAAAGUUUAGCACGGACUCCGAUUUGGCCGAAUUGUCCGCCCUAGUGAGGGACCAUGCCAAUUAGUCCGUACAAUGGUCCAAUCUUGUUUCGCUUCGAUGAGUAGCUUUGCUUGGUGUGCUCAUCCUAGUACUCGAAAUGGACCCGACUCCAAUUAGAAGUUUAGCACUGACUCCGAUCUGGCCGAAUUGUCCGUCGUAGUGAGGGACCAUGCCUAGCGAGUCCGUACAAGUGGUUUAGUCUUGUUUCGCUUUGAUGAGUAGAUUUGUUUGGUUUGCUCAUCCUAGUACCUCAAACGGGCCCGUUCCGGAUCAAAGUUUAGCACAGACUCCGAUUUGGCCGAAUUGUCCGCCCUAGUGAGGGACCAUGCAUAUCUACUGCGCACAAGUGGUCUAAUCUCAAUAUGGACACGCUAACCAUGGAUACGACCAUUAGAACCAUAAUCGGACGUGUAUCUAAUAAAAAUUAUAAUCAGGUGAAUUCAAUUACAAAAUGUUUUCAAUAUGUUACUUGCAAUGAGGCGGAGCUACUAUCUUGUGUUAUCUUAUUAUGUAGGUAUCUUAUUGAACUUUUCAAGUCCAAAGUGAAGAUGAAGUGUGAUAGCCUGCAAAGGGAGAUUCAAAGUGAAGCCUAUCAAGUCUACUUUCCAACAAAUCAAACGGCACAUGAUUCGGAGCUUGCUAGAGAAAGAUAUCACGAAUUAAAGUUGAAUCCGAUUCGGGUCCGAGCUGUCAGGAGACCCGAAUUUGUUUUAAUCACCCAGGCCGCAUCCGGAGUCCAAAUCAAGCAAACAAGUACUUGUUGAAAAGUUAAUUACAAGACCUUUCCAACAGAUCUGGCCCCAUCAAGAGAUUCGACUCGUGCUGACCGUGGCGAAGAAAACAAGCUGACAGAUCUGUUUUUCUGUUUCCUGAAGAGUUGUAGUUUGUUAGAGAUAGAGUUGGAUUUCGGUCUACUUACUCAAGGUGGACGAAAAUAUCUCUCCCUCCUCCUUUGUAUACCCCAUGAGCCCCCCUAAGGAGCCUUGGGUUUUGUUUAGUUAAAAGUUAGCCAUCGCUACUACUUCGUGUAAUCGCGUGUGUCGGUUAGACCACCUGUUUUACCGCUUUCGGAACCCCAACUUAUCGUCUCGUUGAGACAUUGUUUUGAUAUAGUAUAUUCGCAAUUUUAGAUUGCAUCCGCUAUUUAUCUUGUUCUUCUUGUUCUUCGAUUGCUUGCUGGAACAAAGACCUUCAUGGUCAAGUUGAUCGUGCCCCCGCGUGAUCAAUAACCCUCUGGAGUUGGUGUAUCGAUUGCUAAGGCGUUGCCUCGUAGGCCGUAGCCGGAUCGUCAACGUCACGUCCUACCCAAAUCGAGAGUUAUCAAUCUCAUCGAAAGAUCGGGCCACCCCGACCCAUAUCACGUGGUAUCAGAGGUUAAGGUUGCUCGGUGAGAUUUUUCCAGUUUAUCCGUAGUUUAGAUCUGUUUUUACCUAUCGUCCAGAAAAAGCCAAACAAAAAUUAGAGUUAGUUACCUUGUCCUAGAGCCAAUCUGAGCCUUGCAAUUUUCACAUUAGUAUUUGCAUUGUUGAAUCUUUGCUGAAUUAAUCGUGUCGAGUUGCUGGAUUAGAUUGGAUCGUUUUUCAGAUUUUUUCUACUAGAUCAAACUUGCUUUUGGUUUUCUUGUUCUUCGUGUGACGCAGGUUUCCUUCAUCAAUCUUCCGCCGACAAACUUCCUGCCACACCCCCACCCACAUCACGUGGUAUCAGAGCCAGGUCCUAGUAGUUGAUAGGAACAUAUUACUGUGAUUUGUUUCUUGUUUUCUACUAACCAUGACAGGACUUACACGAAGCAUGGCAACUAGACCGAUGCUAUCCCGUGACCGUGAUGAGAGCUUUUCACCACGGCCAUCCUCCACGUCUCUUGUUGACAAUGCCACGGCAACGGUACAAAACAAUCCUUCUAAUACAAUUAAAUUGUGCGUACUCUUUGAGGGGGAAAAUGAUGCUGAAACGUAUAUAGAUUGGGAGCUAGCUUUAACUUAACAAUUCACAUGCUUCCAUGUACUUGAUAGUCGCAAGGUUCAAAUUGCUAUUAGUAAAUUUACUUUUGCUGCUUUAUCUUGGUGGAAUGAGAUAGUUAGAGAAAAGAAAAUUCCCCACACUUGGGUUGAUAUGAAGAAAAUCAUGAGAGAAAAAUAUGUCCCUUUUAGUUAUGGUUUUAACUUGCGUUCAAAAUUACGACGUUUGGCACAAGAUGAUAAAACCGUUGAUGACUACUACAAUGAGUUCCAAAUUAUAACCUUGCGAUUUGGUUUAGAUGAAACCGAACAAAAAAAAAUGGAUAGGUUUUAUUGUGGGCUUAACUUUGAUAUUUCUUACAUGAUUGAAUAUGGAAAAUACGACUCUCUUUUGUGUUUGCUUAAUCUUGCUCGUAAAGUUGAGAGGAAAUUACAGCGAGGGUCUACUACAAAUGAGUCGAACCCACAAGGUAAUGAUACAGAGGAUUGUGUUGCUGAACUAAAAAGGGCAUGUGAUGAAAUAAAUGUGAUACCUAUUGAAUUUUCUGCACCAUGUGAAAUUAUUGUCGUACAUGGUGAUUCAAGUGCACCAACUGCUGAAAUUAAUUCUUCUAAUGAUUUGAGUGCACAAAUUAAUUUUGAUAUUGAUGAGAAUGAAUCAUGUGAGGAAAUAACUAAUGUUUUGGGAGAAACAAGUGAGAUAGAUAAAUUUGAUUUAGGUUGUGUCGAGUUGAUUAGACAUGAAGUGAUUGAUAAGGAUCCACCUAUUAAUUCUUUGUGUUAUAUUACACUUGAUACACCUAUGUAUUUGUCACAUGCAAUGGAUAAAGUUUCUAAAUUAACAAUUUCCAAAUCUUUUGCUAAUGCUCAUGGAUACGCUAUUCAUUUAAUUGGAGAACAUGAUGUGACCAAUAACUUUUUUGUGGAUGAAAUUUGCAUUACUUGUGAUAAUUUUCCUUUCUUGUACACGAUUGUUUGAAUAUUAGUGCUUGGACAUGCUCUAAAUUUCAGCAUCUUUUAGAAACUAAUUUGGGUACCAUUAAUUAUUAUUCUCCAGUGUUGGGAUGGUAUAAUGGUGAACGGUGAGCGGUGCAAACCAAAUACAAGAUAUUGUUUCACUUAUAUACGCAAAACGUAUUGUCAAUCUUCUUGCUGGAAUGAUAUUCAUGAUGAUUGUUUGACUAAUUAUCUCAUGAGAUUGUGUUAUAAAACAUUAAUUGUGCAACAUGGGAGUGGAGUUAAAAAUAACGAUAUAUACAUAUACCAUGCGCAUAUCUUGUCUCUUUUGUUAGCAUAUUUUCAGCAUAAACGACGCCGAGGACGGCUUUCCUUUCAAGAAAGGGAGGAUGAUAUGGACAUGAUCACCAUGGAUACGACCAUUAGAACCCUAAUUGUUGGUGUAUCUAAUAACAAUUAUAAUCAGGUGAAUUCAAUUACAAAAUGUUUUCAAUAUGUUACUUGCAAUGAGGCGGAGCUACUAUCUUGUGUAAUCUUAUUAUGUAGGCAUCUUAUUGAACUUUACAAGUCCAAAGUGAAGAUGAAGUGUUAUAGCCUGCAAAGGGAGAUUCAAAGUGAAGCCUAUCAAGUCUACUUUCCAACAAAUCAAACGGCACAUGAUUCGGAGCUUGCUAGAGAAAGAUAUCACGAAUUAAAGUUGAAUCCGAUUCGGGUCCGAGCUGUCAGGAGACCCGAAUUUGUUUUAAUCACCCAGGCCGCAUCCGGAGUCCAAAUCAAGCAAACAAGUACUUGUUGGAAAGUUAAUUACAAAAAACUUUCCAACGGAUCUGGCCCCAUCAAGAGAUUCGACUCGUGCUGAGCGUGGCGGACAAAACAAGCUGACGAAUCUGUUUUUCUGUUUCCUAAAGAGUUGUAGUUUGUUAGGAAAGUUAGAGAUAGAGUUGGAUUUCGGCCUCCUUACGCAAGGUGGACGAAAAUAUCUCUCCCUCCUCCUUUAUAUACCCCAAGACCCCCCAAGGAGCCUUGGGUUUUGAUUAGAUAAAGUUUAGCCAUCUUUGCUACUUUCGUGUAAUCGCGUGUGUCGGUUAGACCACCUGUUUUACCGUCGUCAAGACUCCAACUUAUCAUCUCGUUGAGACAUUGGUUUGAUAUAGUAUAUUAGCAAUUUGAGAUUGCAUCCGCUAUUUAUCUUGUUCUUGCUUGUUCUUCGACUGCUUGCAGGAACAAAGACCUUCGUGGUCAGGUUGAUCGUGCCCCCGCGUGAUCAAUAACCCUAUGGAGUUGGUGUAUCGAUUGCUAAGACGCUGCUUCCUAGGCCGUAGUCGCAUCGUCAACGUCACCUCCUACCCAAAUGGAGAGUUAUCAAUCUCAUCAAAAGAUCGGGCCACCCCGACCCACAUCAACUAAGGGACCAUGCCUAGGUUGUCCGUACAAUGGUCCAAUGUUGUUUCGUUUCGGUGAGUAGCUUUGCUUGGUGUGCUCAUCCUAGUACCCGAAAUGGACCCGACUCCGAUUAGAAGUUUAGCACCGACUCCGAUCUGGCCGAAUGGUCCGUCCUAGUGAGGGACGAUGCCUAGCGAGUCCCUACAAGUGGUCUAGUCCUGCUUCGCUUCGAUGAGUAGCUUUGCUUAGUGUGCUCAUCCUAGUACCCGAAAUGGACCCGACUCCGAUUAGAAGUUUAGCACCGACUCCGAUCUGGCUGAAUUGUCCGUCCUAGUGAGGGACCAUGCCUAGCGGGUCCGUACAAGUGGUCUAGUCUUAUUUCGCUUCGAUGAGUAGCUUUGCUUUGUGUGCUCAUCCUAGUACCCUAAAUGGACCCGACUCCGAUUAGAAGUUUAGCACCGACUCCGAUCUGGCUGAAUUGUCCGUCCUAGUGAGGGAGCAUGCCUAGCGAGUCCAUACAAGUGGUAUAGUCUUGUUUCGCUUCGAUGAGUAGAUUUGUUUGGUUUGCUCCUCCUAGUACGUCAAACGGGCCCGUUCCAGAUCAAAGUUUAGCACGGACUCCGAUGUGGCUGAAUUUUCCGCCCUAGUAGGGGAACAUGCCUAGCGAGUCCCUACAAGUGGUCUAGUCUUGUUUUGCUUCGAUGAGUAGCUUUGUUUGGUGUGCUCGUCCUAAUACCUUAAAUGGACACAUUCCGGAUCAAAGUUUAGCACCGACUUUGAUUUGGCUGGAUUGUCCGUUCUAGUUAGAGGCCAUGGCUAGCGAGUCCCUACAAGUGGUCUAGACUUGUUUCCCUUUGAUGAGUAGCUUUGUUUUGUGUUCUCAUCUUAUAACGUCAAAAGGACCCGUUCCGGAUCAAAGUUUAGCAAAGACUCUGAUUUGGCUGAAUUUUCCGUCCUAGUGAGGAAACAUGUCUAGCGAGUCCCUACAAGUGGUCUAGUCUUGUUUCGCUUCGAUUAGUAGCUUUGUUCGUUGUGCUCAUCCUAAUAACUUAAAUGGACACGUUACGGAUCAAAGUUUAGCACCGACUUCGAUUUGGCUGGAUUGUCCGCCCCAGUGAGAGGCCAUGGCUGAUAUGGGUCGUGGUGGCCCGAUCUUUCGAUGAGAUUGGUAACUCUCGAUUUGGGUUGGAGGUGACGUUGACGAUCCGACUAUGGCCUAGGAGGCAGCGCCUUAGCAAUCGAUACACCAACUCCAGAGGGUUAUUGAUCACGCGGGGGCACGAUCAACCUGACCACGAAGGUCUUUGUUCCUGCAAGCAAUCGAAGAACAAGCAAGAACAAGAUAAAUAGCGGAUGCAAUCUAAAAUUGCGAAUAUACUAUAUCAAACCAAUGUCCCAACGAGACGAUAAGUUGGAGUCUUGACGACGGUAAAACAGGUGGUCUAACCGACACACGCGAUUACACGAAAGUAGCAAAGAUGGCUAAACUUUAUCUAAUCAAAACCCAAGGCUCCUUAGGGGGGGCUCAUGGGGUAUAUAAAGGAGGAGGGAGAGAUAUUUUCGUCCACCUUGAGUAAGGAGGCCGAAAUCCAACUCUAUCUCUAACUUUCCUAACAAACUACAACUCUUUAGGAAACAGAAAAACAGAUCCGUCAGCUUGUUUUGUCCAUCACGGUCAGCACGAGUCGAAUCUCUUGAUGUGGCCAGAUCCGUUGGAAAGGUCUUGUAAUUACCUUUUGAACAAGUACUUGUUUGCUUGAUUUGGACUCCGGAUGCUGCCUGGGUGAUUAAAACAAAUUCGGGUCUCCUGGCAGCUCGGACCCGAAUCGGAUUCAACUUUAAUUCGUGAUAUCUUUCUCUAGCAAGCUCCGAAUCAUGUGCCGUUUGAUUUGUGUGAAAAUACACUUGAAAUCCUUCCCUCUCAGCUGUAUGAAUGCUUGAUUCUUGUUGUGCCUCCCGUUCGCCUCCAUCAUAUCUCAUCUUGACCUUGGAUUUGAAAAGCUCGACAAGAUGCCUACGUAAUAAAACGAGACAAGAUAGUAGUAGCUCCGCCUCUUCAUAAAUAUGACAAUGAAAACAAUUACUACUUAAAUUCACCUGAUUAUAAAUCUUGUCAAAUAUUAUAGAAUUGAGGGUAUCAAAGGUCGUAUCCAUGGUUAGCAUGUCCAUAUCAAUGGCUAGCGAGUCCCUACAAGUGGUCUAGACUUGUUUCCCUUUAAUGAGUAGCUUUGUUUGGUGUGCUCAUCUUAUUACGUCAAAAGGACCCGUUCCGGAUAAAAGUUUAGCACCGACUCCGAUUUGGCUGAAAUUUCUGUCCUAGUGAGGGAAAAUAACUAGCGAGUCCCUACAAGUGGUGUAGUCUUGUUUCGCUUCGAUGAGUAACUUUGUUUGGUGGGCUCAUCCCAGUACCUCAAAUGGACCCGUUCUGGAUCAAAGUUUAGCACCGACUCCGAUUUGCCGCAUUGUCCGCCCCAGUGAGGGACCAUGCCUAGCGAGUGCCUACAAGCGGUCUACUCUUGUAUCGCUUCGAUGAGUAGCUUUUUUUGGUGGGCUCAUCCUAGUAUCUCAAAUGGACACGUUCUGGAUCAAAGUUUAGCACUGACUCUGAUUUGGCCGCAUUGUCCGCACCAGUGAGGGACCAUGCCUAGCGAGUCCCUACGAGCGGUCUACUGUUGUAUCGCUUCGAUGAGUAGCUUUGUUUGGUUGGCUCAUCCUAGUAUCUCAAAUGGACACGUUCUGGAUCAAAGUUUAGCACCGACUCCGAUUUCGCCGAACUGUCCCUCAUACUGAGUGACCAUGCCUAGCGAGUCCGUACCAGUGGUCUAGUUUUGAUUCGCUUAGAUGAGUAGUUUUUUUUGGUGUGAUCAUCCUAGUACCUCAAAUGGACAUGUUCCGGAUAAAAGUUUAGCACCGACUCCGAUUUGGCCGAAUUGUACGUCUUAGUGAAGGACCAAGCCUAGCGAGUCCCUACAAGUGGUCUAGUCUUGUUUCGUUUCGAUGAGUAGCUUUGUUUGGUGGGCUAAUCCCACUACCUCAAAUGGACACGUUCUGGAUCAAAGUUUAGCACCGUCUACGAUUUGGCCGCAUUGUCCGCCCCAAUGAGGGACCAUGCCUAGCGAGUCCCUAAAAGUGGUCUACCUUGUAUCGCUUCGAUGAGUAGCUUUGUUUGGUGGGCUCAUCCUAGUAUCUCAAAUGGACACGUUCUGGAUCAAAGUUUAGCACAGACUCCGAUUUGGCCGAACUGUCCGUCCUACUGAGGGACCAUGCCUAGCGAGUCCGUACCAGUGGUCUAGUUUUGAAUCCCUUAUGUGAGUACCUUUAUUUGGUGUGCUCAUCCUAGUACCUCAAAUGGACACGUUCCGGAUAAAAGUUUAGCACCGACUUUGAUUUGGCUGGAUUGUCCGUUGUAGUGAGACGCCAUGGCUCGCGAAUCCUAACAAGUGGUCUAGACUUGUUUCCCUUUGAUGAGUAGCUUUGUUUGGUGUGCUCAUCAUAUAACGUCAAAAGGACCCGUUCCGGAUAAAAGUUUAGCACCGACUCCGAUUUGGCUGAAUUUUCCGCCCUAGUAGGGGAACAUGCCUAGCGAGUCCCUACAAGUGGUCUAGUCUUGUUUUGCUUCGAUGAGUAGCUUUGUUUGGUGUGCUCGUCCUAAUACCUUAAAUGGACACAUUCCGGAUCAAAGUUUAGCACCGACUUCGAUAUGGCUGGAUUGUCCGUUCUAGUUAGAGGCCAUGGCUAGGGAGUCCCUACAAGUGGUCUAGACUUGUUUCCCUUUGAUGAGUAGCUUUGUUUUGUGUUCUCAUCUUAUAACGUCAAAAGGACCCGUUCCGGAUCAAAGUUUAGCACCGACUCCGAUUUGGCUGAAUUUUCCGCCCUAGUGAGGGAACAUGCCGAGCGAGUCCGUACAAGUGGCCUAGUCUUGUUUCGCUUCGAUGAGUAGCUUGGUUUGGUGGGCUCAUCCCAGUACCUCGAAUGGACACGUUCUGGAUUAAAGUUUAGCACCGACUCCGAUUUGGCCGCAUUGUGCGCCCCAGUGAGGGACCAUGCCUAGCGAGUCCCUACGAGCGGUCUACUCUUGUAUCGCUUGGAUGAGUAGCUCUGUUUGGUUGGCUCACCCUAGUAUCUCAAAUGGACACAUUCUGGAUCAAAGUUUAGCACCGACUCCGAUUUUGCCGAACUGUCCCUCCUACUGAGGGACCAUGCCUUGCGAGUCCGUACCAGUGGUCUAGUUUUAAUUCGCUUAGAUGAGUAGUUUUGUUUGGUGUGAUCAUCCUAGUACCUCAAAUGGACACGUUCCGGAUAAAACUUUAGCACCGACUCUGAUUUGGCUGAAUUGUACGUCUUAGUGAAGGACCAUGCCUAGCGAGUCCCUAUAAGUGGUCUAGUCUUGUUUCGUUUCGAUGAGUAGCUUUGUUUGGUGGGCUCAUCCCAAUACCUCAAAUGGACACGUUCUGGAUCAAAGUUUAGCACCGACUAUGAUUUGGCCGCAUUGUCCGCCCCAAUGAGGGACCAUGCCUAGCGAGUCCCUACAAGUGGUCUAGUCUUGUUUCGCUUCGAUGAGUAGUUUUACUUGGUGUGCUCAUCCUAGUACCUCAAAUGGACACGUUCCGGAUAAAAGUUUAGCACCGACUUUGAUUUGGCUGGAUUGUCCGUUGUAGUGAGACGCCAUGGCUAGCGAAUCCUAACAAGUGGUCUAGACUUGUUUCCCUUUGAUGAGUAGCUUUGUUUCGUGUGCUCAACUUAUAACGUCAAAAGGACCCGUUCCGGAUAAAAGUUUAGCACCGACUCCGAUUUGGCUGAAAUUUCUGUCCUAGUGAGGGAAAAUGCCUAGCGAGUCCCUACAACUGGUCUAGCCUUGUUUCGCUUCGAUGAGUAGCUUUGUUUGGUUGGCUCAUCCCAGUACCUCAAAUGGACACGUUCUGGAUCAAAGUUUAGCGCCGACUCCGAUUUGGCCGCAUUGUGCGCCCCAGUGAGGGACCAUGCCUAGCGUGUCCCUACAAGCGGUGAUAUGGACAUGCUAACCAUGGAUACGACCAUUAGAACCCUAAUUGUUGGUGUCUCUAAUAAUUAUAAUCUGGUGAAUUCAAUUACAAAAUGUUUUCAAUAUGUUAUUUGCAAAGAGGCGGAGCUACUAUCUUGUGUUAUCUUAUUAUGUAGGCAUCUUAUUGAACUUUACAAGUCCAAAGUGAAGAUGAAGAGUUAUAGCCUGCAAAGGGAGAUUCAAAGUGAAGCCUAUCAAGUCUACUUUCCAACAAAUCAAACGGCACAUGAUUCGGAGCUUGCUAGAGAAAGAUAUCACGAAUUAAAGUUGAAUCCGAUUCGGAUCCGAGCUGUCAGGAGACCCGAAUUUGUUUUAAUCACCCAGGCCGCAUCCGGAGUCCAAAUCAAGCAAACAAGUACUUGUUGGAAAGUUAAUUACAAGACCUUUCCAACGGAUCUGGCCCCAUCAAGAGAUUCGACUCGUGCUGACCGUGGCGGACAAAACAAGCAGACGGAUCUGUUUUUGUGUUUUUCCUAAAGAGUUGUACUUUGUUAGGAAAGUUAGAGAUAGAGUUGGAUUUCGGACUCCUUAUUCAAGGUGAACGAAAAUAUCUCUCCCUCCUCCUUUAUAUACCCCAUGAGCCCCCCUAAGGAGCCUUGGGUUUUGUUUAGUUAAAAGUUAGCCAUCGCUAAUACUUCGUGUAAUCGCAUGUGUCGGUUAGACCACCUGUUUUACCGCUUUCGGAACCCCAACUUAUCGUCUCGUUGAGAUAUUGGUUUGAUAUAGUAUAUUCGCAAUUUUAGAUUGCAUCCGCUAUUUAUCUUGUUCUUGCUUCUUCUUCGAUUGCUUGCAGGAACAAAGACCUUCGUGGUCAGGUUGAUCGUGCCCCCGCGUGAUCAAUAACCCUCUGGAGUUGGUGUAUCGAUUGCUAAGGCGCUGCCUCCUAGGCCGUAGUCGGAUCGUCAACGUCACCUCCUACCCAAAUCGAGAGUUACCAAUCUUAUCGAAAGAUCGGGCCACCCGCACCCGUAUCAAGUGGUAUCAGAGCUUAAGGUUGCUCGGUGAGAUUUUUCCAGUUUAUCCCUAGUUUAGAUCUGUUUUUACCUAUCGCCCAGAAAAAGCCAACAAAAAUUAGAAUUAGUUACCUUGUCCUAUAACCAAUCUGAGCCUUGCAAUUUUCACUUUAGUAUUUGCAUUGUUGAAUCUUUGCUGCAUUAAUCGUGUCGAGUUGCUGGAUUAGAUUGGAUCGUUUUUCAGAUUUUUUUCUACUAGAUCGAACUUGCUUUUGGUUUUCUUGUUCUUCGUGUGACGCAGGUUUCCUUCAUCAAUCUUCCGCCGCCAAACUUCCUGCCACACCACCGCCAUAAUCUCCCGCCGCCACCAUAUCUUCCACCGAGUCUCUCUUCGAGUCCUACACCGAGUCCCUCUUCGACUCCUACACCGAGUCCCUCGUCGAGUCCUACACCGUGUCCUACAUCGAGUUCUACAUUGAGUCGGGCAAGUUAUAGUUUUCAGCCGCAAGUUCGAGUCUGAGUCCAAUCAAGAGUGCUUUUGGAAAGUUUUCAUAAUAGAUCGAAUUUUGUUUAGAGAUCAAGUGGUUCGGAAAGUUGUCAAAAAAAAAGAAAGGAAAGAAAAAAAAGGAAAGAAAGAAAAAAAAAAGAAAAAAAAAAAGAGAAAGAGUUCGAGUCAGUUUCGGACCCGAGUCCGAGUAGAAUUUUAGUUUCGGGUGGGUUUGACCCGUGUUCAGUAAAACGGGCGUAUCUUUUGCGUACCAACUCGGAUUUGGACGUUCUUGGACUUUUUGGAAAGCUCGCGACGAGGCGCAUCAGGAAAUAUCCAGGGUUUUUCCCUGCACUUUGAACCUCAAAUUCGGUUUGUAAGGUGGACUUUCGGAGCUUCCAAGUUUCCGCAUCCGUUUUCCGGCGUCGCUGCAGCCCGGUGUUUCUCAGUUUUCUCCACCGUCCGACAUCCGUUUUGAGUGAUCUUGCCCUUGCUAGAAAGCUUGUGUUGAUACGCUUCUAACCCAUAUUUUUUCAUAUUUUUCUGAAUUUUUCUUACUGCAGCCUUUGCUGUUCUUCGACAGACCGACGUACAGUUUUCCGGUCCUUCGUUUGCGUGAGUUUCUGGGGUUAAAAAAAAAAGAAGAAGAAGAAAAGAAUAAGAAGCCAAACAGAAGGCCACAAAAAGAAAAAAGAAGAAAAAAAUCCCAGCGAUUUACUUGUUGUGCCAUCUUUUGAUCUUUCUAUCCUAUCUUCUUCAGUAUCUAGGCUUAGAUUAUUUCUGUAAUUCAUUCUUAUCGACUCCAGCAGCUAGGACUAGCAUUAUUGAGCAUAUUUUCAACUUUGCAUUGCUGAUUUGAUUAUUUGCUAUUCUUUGCUACUCACAAAAGUCUCCAAGCUCCACAGAUUCUACACCUAGGUUUGUUUGUUACCGAGGCAUCGAUACAUUUAAUCUUCGGAGGGCUUGGUCACGCCGCUGGCCAUCACCUUCCUAUUUUGCAUGGUAAGAACUUGUAAGAACUUGAUUUUUAGAUUAAGAGUUGAGCGACUUGUAGCCACAUCCUAUUAGUUGAUAGGAACAUAUUCCUGUGUUUUGUUUCUUGUCUUAUACUAACCAUGACAGGACUUACACAAAGGAUGGAAAAUAGGCCUAUGCUAUCAAGUGACCAACAUGAGCGUUUUUCACCACAUCCAUCCUCCUCGUCUCUUGUUGACAUUGGCAAGGAAAAGGUAUAUCGCAAUCCUUGUAAUGUCACUAAUUGUUUUGGACCUUUCUUUGAUGGAAAUAAUGAUGCUGAAGCUUAUAUUGAUUGGGAAAUAGCUCUAAUUGAGCAAUUCACAUGCUUCCAUGUACUAGAUAGUCGUAAGGUCCAAAUUGCUAGUAGUAGAUUUCGUUUUGAUGCAUUAUCAUGGUGGCGUGAGAUAGUUAGAGAAAACAAAAUACCUCACACUUGGAUUGAUAUGAAGAAAAUCA
Molecule: long non-coding RNA, 57228 nt
Filed under: Brachypodium distachyon (stiff brome)
Lineage: Eukaryota; Viridiplantae; Streptophyta; Magnoliopsida; Poales; Poaceae
Description: long non-coding RNA (BDIS_LNC000727)
Source: RNAcentral